CAGCAGUCCCUAUCACUAGCACAGAUAGCAUCCACAUUGCACUUUGGGUGCGUCAGAAGCUCUCAAUGGGUAACGUCGAGAGCAUUGUUGACCCAAGGAUGGGAGGAGAGUAUGAUGUCAACUCAGUCUGGAAAGUUGCAGAAUUGGCUCUGCAGUGCUUUGAGCGGCCAUCGCGGGAACGCCCAACAAUGACUCAUGUUGUGAUGGAGCUCAAGGAGACCUUAGAGCUGGAUGCCCUGCAUGGAAUGGGAUAUUACAGCUCAGAACCGAGCAGCACAGUCAAUCUCAGUGCAACUAGCGUUGACUUGCAGAGUGAUGCACAAGGAAGUGAAGCAAGACAGGAAACUAUGCUUGAGUUGGAACAGGUCGGCAAUAUAUCAGAAACUCAAAUAGGUCCUGCGCCACGAUGAGACCAAUCUUUUGAAUUGUAUGGUUAAGGUUCAGGAAUUCAAAGAAUAAGUCAGAUGCAUCAGGAUAUUGUAUUCAUCAUAUGUUAUUGAGUUGUUAAAUCAAGUGACUAAUUGCACAAAAUCUCCAUAUAUGGAUGUUGGAUGCUUACAAUAGAAAUGAAACAUGUUAAUUCUGGAAUGGAGUUUUUUCAUUAUCUAAAAAAAAUCAGUAGUGGAGCUAAAUCUGCAGAAAACUUUUUGCUGAUAGCUCCAAAAUUGAGGCAAACAGUUUAACGGAGAUAGGGAAGACAAUCAAGACUCAAAACAUCUCUCCUGAUUGCUAUGAUUCUUGGGUACACAAACAUAUUCUGAUGUGAACAAGUUUAAUUCGUGUUCUCUCCUGAUGGGUACACACACAUCUCUCCUAAAUGCUGCUAUUUCCAGUUACCAGAAGAUAUACAUGAAAUCCAUGCCACAAAUUGGAGAUCCCUUUAUACAAGAUUGAUAAGUAAACAGUACUAAUAAACAGAGGGUUCAUUAUCUAAUGACUUCGUUAUUCCACUAUUUCUAUAGCACAUACUAGUCUCAGAAGUUAUUUUUCAUCAUAGUUUCAGAAUUAACCUGUACACCGAGUGAACAGAAUCUGCUAUUUCAAAGAAGAUUAAUCAAUGAUAGCACUAUACAAGCAUAUUUCUAUACUAUUGGUCAGUUCUAAUAACCACAGAGUUGAACCAGGAUGCAAAGAAUGCAGAAUUUUUACAAAACUGAGUUGUUCCCAUCAGAGAGAGGUAUCAGAUUACCAUACAAGUCAGAAUUCUAGUCUCUGUACUUGUGCGUCAAAAAAGUUUCUAUAAUUAUAUGAUUGUUUGUACAGAACACGGAUUAAAUUGACAAAGUAUAUAACUGAAGUGAACACUAUACAGAGUAGUUCAACCAUGUUGGUUCCUGUUCACAUACUGCACCUUUAUUUUCUAAAUAAAGGUGAAUAACAGAAUAACUACUGCAGAAGGCAAUCAAGGCACUGCACCAUACCAUGCAGCAGAAAAAACACCAAAAUUAUCAAUAGCUAGCAUAUACCAAACAGCUGAUGAUACGUAUAGUACUAGCCAUUUUCACAGAUGAAGAUAUACCUAGCCAUUAACCAAAGCAUCUAAAACAAUAAGCCUCCACUGAGCCCAUAUAUAGUGAUGCAUAAAAGAUAACUCAAUUAUCAAAGCUGAGAUUCCUAAAAAAACAAUCAAAUUGAUAACGCGGGAAUGACAUGCCCAAAGGAUGAGUGUGCCAGAGGGAAAACGAUUCAACGCACCAGCGAAUCAUCUUGCUCGCAUCACAGCACCGUAUGACGCAACAGUUGGUAACUAGGAAGCUUUUUCCCCGCAUAUUUAAGCCGCGACGAGGUCCUGGAUAUCUCUGAGUUGGCUCAGAGCUCACCAGCGGAAGUGGAGAUGGAGGGCGGAGGCGGCACGAGAUCGAAGGGCCGCAACCGGGGAGACCGACCCCCAGCACCCACGGAACGGAAGUGCGGGGGUUGCCGGCGCCGCCGCGCCGGCGACGAGCCUGAACAAGUGGUCUGGCCGUUUGGGUCGGGCUGGGCAAGGCCGUGGGCAUUACCAUUUUUUACCGGCUUUUACUAGAGGCCUUGUUCAGUUUGCAAAAAUUUUGGAUUUUCGACACCGUAGCACUUUCGUUUUUAUUUGACAAACAUUGUUCAAUCACGGAGUAAUUAGGCUUAAAAGAUUCAUCUCGCGAUUUACAAAUGAACUGUGCAAUUAGUUUCUGUUUUAUGUAUAUUUAGUGCACCAUACAUGUGCCGCAAUAUUCGAUAUGAUGGGGAAUCUUGAAAAUUUUUAUAAACUAAACAAGGCCUAAACAAGGCCAGAGAUCACGUGGCCCGAAAGGCCCACGGCAUGAUCUUGGUAUGGAAUGCGAGAUCAUACGUGCUAUAGAAAGUGUUGAAGGUAGACGUUUAGCAUAUAUAAUUGUAGUAUAAGCAAAGAGUAAUUAAUUAGAGAUUAACUUUUUAUUUUUAUCUUUAUUAAAUAGUAGUGUGCUGCUAUCUAAACAACAAACUAUCAUAGCUCAAUUGGCUGCUUCGCGCGCUGGCACUGCUGCUCUUUGCUUUGCCGCUGGCCAGCACGCGGCGAGCGCGAUCACAGGCGAGUGAGCCAUCAGUGGACCACCAAGAACGACAGAGGAAGAUGAAGAUAAACUUUCACAAUUGCAUGGAGGGAUUAAGAAGGAGGCUACGCACAUGUGCUUAGCUUUGAAUGCGGGACAACGACCGAUGAAUGCAUGCAUACAUUAAUGCUGGGUCGAAGCUAAAGAGCCAGGGGCAAAUAAAUCCGAUUUUCAUCUCCAACACUCAGAACGUCAGCUAAUAUAAAAUUAACAUCAAGACCUAAAAGUUAACGUCUACCUUCAUGAUACGGAGGGAGUACUUGAUAUUUUUUUUGCGCACUUCAUUUUUUUUUGCUUUUUAAAUCACAAAUGAAUAAAUGUUUAGAAACGAGUCUUCUGACCAUGUAUGAUCUUUCGGAGCUGGCGUGGCCAUUUAAGGCCUUAUUUGUGUGUAGCAAUGUUUUUGCUUUGUAACGGCAUUUAUGUAGCAAUGUUUUUGCUUUGUACUUUUUAUCAACCUUUUUGUUACCCCACCUUUCACCAUUUUGCAUUUAUCUUCUUUUCUUUUUUCACUUAAUUCAUGUUUAGCUUGUAUGUUGUGUUCAUGGGCUGCGUACAAGCUAAACAUGAAUUUUUCACUUAAUUACCCCACCUUUUCACUUAAUUACCCCACCCGUUCGCAAAAAAAAAGUUGUUGAUACCCAGCUUUGGUCAACUUCUUGUGACCCCUAAAGCAAUAAAUGAAGUUACAUUCUUAAAAACUAGGGGAUCAAAUACCCAACUAUUUUGUGCUCAGCGAUUUUAGAAACUAGAGUCAAAAACUGGUUUUCAAAAUCUGAAACGGAUCCAUUUCCACUAGCCCCUAGCACUGGCGGUUCUAAUCAAUUUCCACUAGCUCCUAGCACUGGCGGUUCUAAUCCAUUUCCACUAGCCCCUAGCACUGGCGGUUCUAAAAAAUGUCUGUACAAAUAGGUUACGAACCGUCUGUACAGAGCUUCUAUGUACUAGUGAAGACAACUUCUUGUUUGGCUCUGGAAGCAAAAGAUGUUUGGAUAUACGGUAGCAGCUUUACCUGGACUUUAUCACUCACUUGGAAAUGCCUUUUAGAGCGGUGUUUAACAGCUUGAGAUUUCAUAUGCUAUUGCACCCUGAGGAGUUGUUGUUGAAGAAGGGCAGUAACAGUCUAGCGAUCCUUUAACCAAGACUCUAGAUCAACAACUUGAUAGUCUUGAUCAAGAUUAAUAGAAAAGUGCCUUGGAGCAUGACCAUACAUAAUUUUAAAAGGAGAAGACUUCAGGGAUGAGUGAAAGUUGGUGUUAUACCAAAAUUCUGCUAGAUGAAGCCAGUUAGACCACUGAGUAGGACAAGAAUGAACAAAACAUUUGAGAUAACCUUCCAAACACUAGUUAACCGGCUCAGUUUGGCCAUCACUUUGAGGAUGAUAGGCUGAGCUCAUACAUAGGUCCACUCCAGAAGGUCUAAAAAUUCUCCCCAUAGUUCACUAGUGAAAAUUAUACCUGUGAGUAACAAUUGCAUUAGGCAUGCCAUGUAGUUUGUAGACAUGUUCCAUGUAUAAUUUAGCAACUUUUAAUGCAGGAAAGAGGUGAGCCAACUUGGAAAAAUGUGAGUACUUGGAAAAGUUGUCUUCUACCACCAAAAUGCAAUUGUAAUAAGAGGGAGGGGGAAGACCACGCAUGUUAUCUAUUAAGUCGUCUUAAGAUUAUGUGGCACUAUAUAAGACCGACAGCGCCAAUAUACUUACUCUAAGAAAUAAACAUCAUAGCAUGCAGGGUAACGGACUUGCCAGGCAUAUACAAUGACUUUGUCAUAUGUGCAAGAGACAAGCCUAGCUUUGGCAAGACAAGUGGAUAUGGCCCAGACCAAACGAGGAGUGACAACCCUACUAGGAAUAUAUAAGUCCAUGUUGACUUCUCUAACUAUUGUGUUUGUCCUCAACUAGAAAACCAGAUUUCUAGCAGCCUUCUCCAACCUUUCGAACCAUCUGAUUUACAUCCAUGAGUGGUUUUGAAAGUAGUAAGCUGACGUGACAAUCGUGCUGACAACAUGUUUUGUGUAAAUGUAAAUGGAUAUACUAUGAAUGACAAAUGAACCAGAGAGAUUUCAUUGAUCUAUGAUGUAAAUAUUUAUACAUGCGUAAGGCCAGUCUCAAUGCAUGUUUCAUGAGAGUGUCAUGCACAUUAAAUAGGGUGCCACAUAAGCAAAAUUGCUGACUUGGCAGGGUUAUUAAAUGAAGGAAUUUCAUCAGAUGAGAGAGGAGUUUCAUCCCCAUGAAACUCAUCUGGCUCGGUUACCUAAUUUAUAGUCUUGGUAACGUGCCAUGAAACUAUGUAUUGAGACUGGCCUAAGAACGUCACAGGAACGUGCUUGUAGGCAAGUGUCCAUGACACCAGAUGGUUCGCACGAUAGUGGGGAAAGGAAAGCCUGAGCGGUUCCAUCACGGAGCAUUCCCAGAUGAGAGGCACGAGAGAGGGAUCGGAGAUAAGCCUGUCCGCUUAUCCGAUUUGUUCAGGUCGGGUAAUUCGGGUAAUAAAAAUUGUUAUCUGAUAUUAGUUCUGAAAAAACACUAUCCGUAAUUUCGGGUACCCGAUACUUCGUGUUCAGAUUCGGGUAUUCCCGAUUUACCGGAAUUUUCAGAAAAUAACACACUACACAAAAAUUCAAUAGCAAUUUAUAUAUAAUUUCAUCAACAAUUUGUAUAUAAUUUUAAUAGCAUUUUGUAGAGAAUAAUAUAUUACUAGCACUUGUUCAAACAAAGAGAAUUAUGUUCUAUUAAAUUGAUAAGUUCUAAUAUGUAACUAACAACACAUGAUAAAUACAAAGAUAUAGACAAAUAUUUAGGUAAUUCGGGUAGUUCGGGUACCGAGAGAUAUUACCCGAAUUACCCAAACUAACUUUGGUAAUCAAAAUCGCUAUCCGAAUUUAGGAUUGGGUACCUCGGGUUCGGAUAAUGGGUAUCGGGUAAAUUUGCGCAGACUUAAUCGGAGAUGCACACGGGUCACGGGGGAUUCGCUCACGUGGCACGGGUAGCGAGUGCUGCGGAUCGAAAAUAUGGCGAUCGAUAAUGACCGGAUAGAGACGACGCCACGACGGGGUCGCGAUUUUUCUUUUUUGGGGGGGGGGAGGGGGUUGGGGGGGGGGGUUGGCACGAGCUCGGUAAACCGGCCUUCACGGAGGUUAGACCGAGUCCGUAGGAGAUGCUAAUCAUCUCACUGUAAUUUAUUUAUCACUCGUUUAUUUAUCUCAAGAUUCAGAUCUCAUGCACGCAUGCGCUGGAGCCUCCAACUACAACGGCGGCAUGGACGAUUCAGCAGCCCCCCUUCACCCGGCAAAGCACCCCACCCCUCAUCGGCAGUGUCUGCGCUCUCUACAUCAUCGACAUCAUCUCCUCCGGUGACCUCCACCUGUGGAGCGGCGGCGGCGGCUGUGAUCGUAAAAUGGCGCGGUGGUAUCCACAUAUGGACGCCAAUGUCCAAGACCAGCAGCCACCGUCGUCGGUAGUCAGAACUCAGAUCCAGGCGCAUCGCAGGUGCCGCGCCGGCAGUCCACAAUCAGUUCGGUUCACAUCAAUGGAUCACCAGGUUUGAGAUCUCCGAUCCACAGCUGUGCAGUUCUAGUAGCUAGGUUAUCAUGUUUUCUCUUCUUUCCAUAUCCAAUCUCGAAUCAUAUACAUAUGCAUUCAAUUUUGGGCAGCGGUACACUCAUAUGCGUUCCUCACCAACAAGGCACCACCAAAACGUACGCCGGAUCUGUUGGGCACUAAUAGCAUGCAUUUCACCUAUAUAUAUCCAUUUUGGCAGAUUACAGCUUUUUCAUAGAUGAGUUGCAGUCACGUGUUAGAAUUUUAGUGCAAUGCUUUGACGUACGCAUUUGUAAUUUCAAUCUCCAUGCAACAUAUAGGUGGAUGAUCUAUCCCUCCCAGAUGACAAUCUUAAUUUUGCUAGACAAUUUGAGGCGUCCACCCUGCUGUACGUGUCUCCGCUCCAUCUAGUGGUAAAUGGUAUGUUCCUCUUCGUCCACGGUGAUAUGCUAGCGCAACUAAUUCUUUUUUCUCAUUCAUUCUAAUGCAUAUAUUCCUCUUCGUCCUAUCCGUCGAUCUGUGCUGCCCGUGUUGCUAGAAAUCUGAAUCUCAAUUUUAACAUGGUGAGAUUACUCACUUCUUUUCCCAUUUCGAUCCUACUAUAACUAGUAUUUUUCUUGAUUCUCUAUAUGCUUUUUGUCAGCGGAAGCCACCAAAGGCCGAACUAUGGAUCGAGAUGAUGUAGGAUGCACAGUAGAACUGCAGAAGGUGAGUUCAUGUUUUUCCUAUUAGAAGGUACUGUGUUCUGAUCCAUUUGAGUACCGCGUGUAAUACAAUUAUACAUUUUAUUCACCUUGUGUAGAAGCCGUGGCGGAACUAGCAAAAUGUUAGGGGGAGCUACGUGACAAAUAUGAGAACUAGCAAACAGAAUCAAUUGUUAAACGGGUCAUUAUUUCCUAUCUGAAUUAGCAUAAACAUACAAUGAUACAACCUGAAUUCAAAAUUUGCACAGAUCAUCAUUGCAGACAAUUGAAAAAACUAAAGAUCCUAUCAUGUAAAUUAUAUACUUUGCCUGUGCAUGUGUGCGUGUAGUGUAUGGCUCUCUUGCUUCUUGCACCUGCAACCUAGGUUGUGCUGUUGAACGCGGUUUUUAUGCCCUUAGAGCAUCUUCAACGGUACUACCUAUUUUCUAUUUUCGUAGCUAGCCAUUUUUAUACUACCUAUAUUUUGCUCCCAACUCCAGCAGUACUACCUAAAACAUAGCUCCUAAAUUCAUUCCAACAGUCCAUGACAUGUGGGACCCACGUGUCAUCCUCGCUAUUGAUGAACUCGGCCAUCAAUAGCUUCCCGCCAGGGGGGAGAGUUGUUGGAAUGAGGUUUGGCCGACGAGGAGAGUUGCUGGAGCGCCGCUAGAGUGCUGUGCCUGGUCGAGGGGCCGCACCAGCGAAUCCCUAGGCCCGCGGCACAUGGUAACCGUCGGGAGCGCCGCCUGGAAGAAAGCCCGAGAUCGAGACGGAGGGCUCGCGUCUGGGGGAGGGGCUCCAUGGCGGACGAAGCUCGCGGGGGAGGGAUGCCACUGGUGGGGAGGAGCGCCACUAGGGGCACCACUGCACCACGCGAGAGCCAGUGGGGAGCAGGGGAUUAGGGCAUCGAUGGGGAGCGGGGAGCCACGCCAGAAAGGAAGGCUCGCCCGCCGCCUGUCGUGCUAGGAAGGUACUCCACCAGGGGGGCAUCGCAAGGGGCAUCGCAUGCGCAGGCGAGUCGAAGACGCGAGCGCCGUUGAGCGAUUCUGAGCGUGGGGAGGAAAGAGACAAAGGGAAAAAUCGGUAGGCACUUUUGUUGGCCCAACAGAUCUAGUUGGGUCAACAAAUUUAGGUAGCCUAUUUGAGUGCAGUUUUUGACCUCUACUAUAGAUAGUCUGUUUAGGUAAUUUGCUGGAGAUGCUCUUAGGGACACAUGAUUGCACUCUCCCACCCAUUAAAUUCACAUUGAGAAGUGUCAUACCCAAUUUUAAGGAUGAAAUUGAAUGCAUAAACUCAUGUGUGCCCAGAAAACAAUCACACACAUAAGUUACAAAUUACAUAUCAUCAUUGCAAUGUUUACACAAACAUAGUCGUAACAUCACAUAGUCUAAUACAGCAGCAGAAACAAAUAUAGAUAACUCUCUCUAAGCCAACACACAGGGAAGACUGACUCGUGAAGCACAAUCCUAAAAGUCCUAAGGAUAGUCCAUCUGUUACUCAUUCGGGAUUUUUAUCCAAAAAAAAUAUAACAAGUGUGAGUACAUUUCGUACUCCACAAGCAUAACAUGGGGAUUCAUGAGGCUCAAAAGUUUAGACUCAGUUUACUGCAUUAUCAUUUUAGUAAGUCAACAUUUUAGCAUUAAUUAAUGUUAAGAUAUGCUUAGGCUCCUAAUAACCCAUAAGAUCAGUUGUCAGAACCAUAAAGAAUCUUUGUACCAACAUUAUAACAUCAUCAUUAAUCAUCACAUAUAACAUUCAUUAAAAGUAACCAGUUAUUUUAUGAGUUUUCCAAACUGCUCAUGACUGUGAACACGGCUGUUAUAACAAUUUUGCACUCUGCAGAGGUGAUGCACUUUCACCGAGAGUCGUGUUGCUCAUAUGCCCGAGGUCCGUCAACCCCUAAACACUUCCUAGUUGAGUGGGCAGAGUACACUAUGAAGCCUUCCAUAGGCCUAUUCUAACCAGUUAGGGCCGCGAGGUUUCCUCGAUAGGCAGAUGUAGAAAACUCUCCUUUUCUAUGGCACAAAUCCAUCACGACUAUACUCAUAAAAACAGGGGCAACACUACACCCAAAGUGGCAAGCGCCUCUUGCACCCUUUUGGGUAACCUCUAACGAGUUAGAAAAGAUCCUAUUACUGAGCCAAAGUCAGAGCCAUGUGACUCUCUUGGUUGCACUGUCAAUCCUAGCUUUUGCCGACAGAUCUAGGACAACAUGACUAGAAGUCAUUUGCACCAUAGCCCUAGGUUCCAUUUGUUGUCAUCAAGUUAUAUCAGUUAUACCAUGGUUCUGUAACUAAAGUAUAGAUCAUAUAUAAAGUUAGAGCGCUAGCAUUUCUACCCAUAUGCAAUUAAAACUCUUAGGAGUCAAGGUGUUAUGUCAUCAACAACUAGGAUGUCCUUAUAGUUGACCAAAUUAGACACAUGCAAUAUGAGAUGUUUAAAGUGAGUAGGACAUCAAGGUAAGCCCAUGCUAUACUUGCCUUGGUUCACAAAGUCUUGCUGGUCCUACUAAUCUUCGAAGAACUCUAGGUUCCCGUAGUACUCCUCACUGUCUGAACCCGAUCAACAUGUCACAACAACACGUAUUCCGAUGACAAAAAUGCAAGCAAACAUUCCUAAAGUUAGAACAGUACACCAGUAGUAAAUAAAUGUAAAUAUAAGGUUUACCAAAAACAUCUACAUAUUACUAUGAUCACGUCAACAUGAAUUUCACGAAAAACGGAGCUAAAACGCGAAAGUUACGUAUUAAACUAGCCCUCUAAAGUGACCUACAGACUUGUAAUUUUCUAGGGAAUCUAACAGUGUCAAACUUAUACAACAGUGGUACCAACGCGAAGCUUACAAAAUUACAAAACUAAUGCAAGUUGAAUGGAUCAAAUCGAAACUAAAACGAUGAUUUAAUAAGUGAAACAUUUUAGUGGCAAUUUUGUAAAUAUUGCAAAGAUUAAACAUUUAAAAUAAUUAAGAAAUUCCUAGAAAUUAGUUUGGCCAAGGAUUGUGGGCAUAAAACCAUAAGAACCCAGGGGCUCUUUAGCAAGAUGACCCACGAAAGGGGUAUCCGACGCCUAGAGCCAUUGGAUCAGAGAUGGGCGGCCAAGAUCAGAAGAAAGGGGGAAGAGGGAGGCUGGCCGGCCGAAGUUGGGAGGGGUGGCAACGGCGGCCAUUGCCGACGCGAUGGAGGUCGUCGGAGUUGCUCAUGCGGGUGCUACAGUGCAUGGUUUUCCAAGGCGAGUGCAUAGGGAGAGAGAGAGAGAGAGAGAGGAAGCAAUGUGAGUUCGCCUAGACCCUUUGCGCGGCCCAAGAGGGGCUCGUGCGGUCCGCGCUAUGGCCGGCGGCCAUGGUGCUCCUUAGCAUGCGUGGCUAGGGCUCUAGAGGACACCAUUUCGCACGAGAGAAGGUUGGGAAGAAUGAGGGAGCUACAAUGAUGAAUGCAUCAAUAUGUUUCUAACCUUCUAUUAAAUUUUAAUUUCCUAAAAUUUAUUAUUUUCCUAUAUUUCAAUGCUCACAAAAUUAAUUCAAUAAAUCAAAUUUAACUAUUUUGAGAAAAGACAUUUUUAUGGUGUUACAAUUCUACCCCUUCUAAAAAGAAUCUCAUCCUCAACAUUGGGUGAUGGCUUACUCAAACAGUUGCGGAUACGACAUUCUCAAAUCCUCUUCUCUUUUCUAGGUAGCUUCAUCCUCGUUAUAACGGUUCCACUGUGCUUUGCACAUCUUUAUAGUCUACUCCUCAUAACUCUUUCUGUAGUUUUCAAGAUCUUUAUCGAAUACUCUUCAUAUGUGAGAUUUUCCUUAACUGUCGGCUCUUCUAUAGGAAUUUGCUCUUCUGGCACCCACAACACUUUUUCAACUAGGAAACAUGAAACACAUCGUGCACACAUGACAAACUUUCUAGGAGUUCUAACUAAUAAGCCACUUCUCCACGUCUCAUGAGAAUUUUGAAAGGUCCAACAUACCUUGGUGCUAGCUUACCCUUCAUAUUAAAUCUCUUCACACUCCUCAUCGGUGACACUUUCAAAUACACAUAAUCACCCACUUUGAAGCUCAACUCUCUUCUCCAGGUGUUGGCAUAACUUUUUUGUCGAGACUGCCACUCUUAAGUUAUCCCUAAUCAUUCUCACUUGUUCCUCAACGUUGCUUAGGACAUCUGGUACAAACACUUGAGUCUCAUCGAUUUGAUUCCAGAAUAAAGGUGUUCUACACUUGCGCCCAUAUAAGGCUUCGAAUGGUGCCAUCUUGAGACUUUUUCUGGUGAUUGUUGUUAUAUGAAAACUCAGCAUACGACUGACUCUUAUCCCAACUAGUACCAUACUACAAAGCACAAGCUCUCAACAUGUCCUCCAAGAUCUAAUUGGUUCUUUCUGUUUAUUCAUCAGUUUGAGGAUGAUAAGUGGAACUAAAAUUCAGCUUGGUGCCCAAAGCUCAUGUACCUUGUGUCAAAAGUGUGAUGUAAACUAAGUACCUCGAUCAGAGACGAUCUUCUUUCGAACACCAUGUAGGCACACUAUACGUUCCAUGUACAACUCUGCUAACCUUGCUCCAUUGUAAGUAGUCUUGACUGGUAGAAAAUGUGCAACCUUAGUGAGUUGAUCUACUAUUUACCCAAAUCGAAUCAUAUCCACGUUGAGUAUGUGGAAAUCUGGUAAUAAAGUCCAUACCAACCUCUUCCUACUUCCACUCAGGUAUCUACAUGCAGGUCUCUGGCACUCAGCUUUUACCCUCUGACAAGUAUCACACAAAGCCACAUACUCUGCCACAUCUCUCUUCAACAUCAUACUACCAAUAUCUCUCCUUCAGAUCCAAAUACAUCUUGGUGCUUCUAGGGUGUGAUGAAUAGGCAGAGUCAUGUGCCUCAUGUAGAAUUGUGUCACGGAUAGUUUUCACUGUAGGUAAACAUAUCCUUUUCCUAAACCACAACAUACCAUUCUCCUCUAUCCUAAACCCUGGUGCUUUUCCAAGCACCACAUUCUCUGCUAUCUCCUUUAAUCUUCAUCCUCCAAUUGACCCUUAUGUAUUUUUUGCUCUAACAUAGGCUCUAUCUCCAAAACCAUUGCAUGAUUGACAAAGCCCAAGUUGAGGUGUUCUUUUCAGCAUGCAACUUGGCUGAAAUAAAUGUCAACUGCAGUCUGUUGGCAUAUCUCUUCCUACUUGUUAUAGAUAAAAUAUCUAGGUGAUCUCAUAUCCUCGGAUUCUCUCCCCAGAGAUCUAUCCUAACAGCUUGAGGACCGAGACUUCUUCCAUGACCCCAUACGUGCUCGUGAAGACCGGUUCCCCCUUUGAGGCUCCCCCCAUGACUCAUCAUGGGCAUCAUGAUUACUUGGGGGGAGAGUUUCCCCUUCCUUCUCGACUUGUAUAAAUACCGAUCGAUGGAAUAAAGAAAUACACACCGAGUUUAUUUACUUCCUCUCUGUUCACUCAUACUUUACAUUUCACUCGUAACACGUUAUCAGCACGACGCUCUUCCCUGCCCCAAGGGGAAUAGCUCGGUUGGUACGAACAUCGUUGAGGGACCGACCUUCACCCCGAGGUAAAACAUGUCGUUGCCUCGCCGUAAUUCCACCUUGAUGGCUUCUCUCAUCCUACAAAUCAUUUGGAUGGCGAUGAAUCAUGCUCGUACUUUGGGCAUACACUUCAGAAACAACCGCCUUCAGGCGGAACUACUGCAGGACAUCCGGAAACUCCUCGGAUAGCCUCGCGGCUAUCGCCUUCGGGGCGAACGCCAUGACCUUGAUAGGAAUCUCGGACGUUUCCUUUUCAGGACGUUGUUUUAGGGGACACCGACAUGCAAACGUUGUUCCUCUGUUUCGAUGUUCGGUGGUGUUGUCUGCGGCUCCGCCCGCGGCACCACCGUCGAGGCACCGACUCCACCGGCAGCUCCAACACCAGUCCUCGCCUUGCCGGCUCCACUCCGGCCAAGGUACCCGCUCCACGGUGACGGCCUGUGCCCACCACUGCCACAAUCCAUGGACGAGGAUGCUCCAACCAAGGAUGCUUCAACCAAGGUGGACAACCGUUUGAAGCACUUCAAUGAUCUGGCACUCCCAGGAUGUUCCAACCCCACCCAGUGGCACCGAGCAACACAAUGACGCCUCCUCCACCUGAUGGCAUGACAAAUGACCAGCAACAACAUGGUCAUUGAAUACACUUUUGAUGAUCUGUUCAACAACUUCAGCUAGAUUGAUAGUCAUUUGAGAUUUUACUUUCAUCAUUCGCUUUUGGGAUUGUAAUAAUUAACAAUUUGUUUUUGCUGCACACCUUUUGAUAUUCAUUGACUUAUGCACAAUUUAAUAUCAAUAUAUGUUUAUAUUCCAUAUAUAUUCAUGUUGAGAAUUUCAUUCUCUAUUAUAUUCUCUAUUUUUCAUAGAUUGUACGGGAGUCAAUCCGAUGGAUGAGGAAAUGUGCCUAGUGGACAGUGGCACCACUAACUCUAUGCUUAGGGAAAUAAAAUAUUUCCAAACUCUCACAAAGAGCAAAAGAAAUGUUUUAACAAUUGUUGGAUGCUAUGACGUAAUAGUUGGCUCUGGAUGAGCCACUAUUACGCUCCCUAUGGGUACAACGAUCACAAUCAGGAAUGCACUCCUAUAUCCCGAUUCAACUCGUAUCUUAUUGAGUUAUAGAGAUAUCCGCAAGAGUGGGUAUCAUAUCGAAUCCCAUCCUCCUCGUUACAAAGGAUAACAUAUAUGGUAGAGAUACUCUUAAAAGAAGUCCCUCAACUUCGUCUGGAUUGUACUAUUCAUACAUAAAACUCAUACAACAUGUUGCGUACAAAGUAAUUUUUUAGAAUGUCAAUGCAUUCCAAACUUGGCAUGAUUGCCUUGGUCACCCUAGCAUAGGGAUGAUGAGAAAAGUUACUAGCAAUUUUGUUGGUCACUCGAUAAUCAAUGCAAAAUUUCUCUAAUCCUCAUUUAUACUUGCACCGCAUGUGCAACUGGGAAAUUAAUUUUGAGGCCUUCUUCCCUCAAAAUAAAAGUUGAACCAUUCAACUUCCUUGAACGCAUUCAAGGGGACAUAUGUGGUCCGAUAAAUCCUUUAUCCGGAUCAUUCAGGUACUUCAUGGUUCUAAUAGAUGCGUCCACAUGAUGGUCCCAUGUGUCUCUUCUAUCGACACAGAACCAUGCCUUUGCUAAAACUAUUGUGCAAGUUAUCAAACUCAAAGUGCAACAUCCUGAACACCAAAUAAAAUCCAUUAGGAUGGAUAACGCUGAAUUUUCCUCUUGUGCCUUCAAUGACUAUUACAUGGCCUUAGAAAUACAAGUACAACAUUCCAUCUCAUAUGUCCACACAAAAUGGGUUAGCCGAGUCUCUCAUCAAGAGAAUCAAGCUCAUUGCUAGACCGCUAUUGCAGAAUUACAAUCUACCAACCUCAUGUUGGGGUCAUGUAGUCUUACAAACUGCUAAACUGAUCCAAUUGUGACCAACUGCAUACCAUGCAACGUCCCCAUUGCAACUAGUACAUGGAAAUCUCCCAAACAUUUCCCAUCUACGAAAGUUCGGUUGCGCUACAUACGUACCGAUCUCACCACCAAAGCGUACAACAAUGAACCCCCAUAGAAAACUAGGGAUCUAUGUGGGAUACAAAUCUCCGUCAAUUAUAAAGUAUCUGGAGUCCACCAUAAGGGACCUCUUUACGGCCUAGUAUGCUGAUUGUAUCUUCAAUGAAGAUCAUUUCCUGGCAUUAGGGGAGACUUAUCACAUCACAAACAAGGCUAGGAAAUCAACUUGGAUGCCCCAAACAUCUCCAACUCAGAUCCACGUACUUUAGAGUCUCAACUCCAAGUUCAGAAAAUCAUCAAUUUGCAACACAUUGCAAACAACAUGCCAGGUGCAUUUACUGAUUAUAAGGGUGUUACAAAAUCCUAUAAUCCAGCGAGAAAUUUACCGAAAAGAGUAGAGGUACCAAACAAAACUACUCAACUCACAAGUAAGAGGGGGAGAAGUACAGCUAUCUCCACGGAUGCAGCUUCUAGCAAGCAAAGGAAAUGAAAGUCCAAAUCUUCUAACCCAGUAAAUGCAACUGAACCUCAUGUUGAGGAACACCUAGUGGAGGUCCAACCUUCACAUCCCACAUUAACAGUGCACUCAAUUCCUCAUGCUGGGACAUCAGAAUACCCUAAUGCAACCAUCUUGGGAAAUGAUAAUGCAUCAGAAAGGGUCCAUGAAAUUUCCAUCAACUAUGCAGAAACUAGAGAGUCAUUUGAUAGAAAGAGCUAUAAUUGUCGACUCAUAUUUCUCCACAAUGAUUGUCGAAAUCCUUGAAAAUGAUCUAGAUCCAAAGACCAUGGUAGAGUGCAAAAUGCGCUCAGAGUGGAACCAAUGGAAGGUUGCAAUCCAAGAAGAAAUAUCCUCGCUCACAAAAAGACAGGUAUUCUCACAAGUAAUGCCUACACCUCUAAAAGUAUUCCCUAUGGGAUUCAAGUGGGUUUUCGUCUGAAAGCGGAACGAGAACAUUGAGGUGGUGAGAUACAAAGAUAGGCUUGUAGCACAAGGGUUCACACAGAGACCCGGCAUUGACUUCAAUGAAACAUACUCUCCAGCCAUGGGUGGAAUAAUAUUCUGAUACUUAAUCUCUGUGGCCGUACAAAAUCAUCUAUCUAUGCAGUUGAUGGACGUAGUGACUGCAUAUCUCUAUGGCUCACUCGAUUCAGACAUAUACAUGAAGGUUCCUAACGGAAUUCCAAUACUGAAUCAAAACGCAAACCGCAGCAUGUAUUGUGUAAAGCUACAGAAAUCACUCUAUGGCUUAAAGCAAUCAGUGAGUACCUUCUGCAGAAGGGCUACUCUAAUAGUGAUGAUUGCCCAUGUGUCUUCAUCAAGAAAUCCCAAAUGGGAUUAUGCAUCAUAUUGGUGUAUGUUGAUCAUCUAAUAUCAUCGGCCACAAACAAGAUAUUGAUGAGACAUGCAAACAUCUUAAGACAGAGUUCGAGUUGAAAGAUUUGGGUAAAACCAAAUUCUGCUUAGGCCUACAGCUUCAACAUCUUUCAACUAGAAUCUUUGUACAUCAAUCUAUAUAUGUCUAGAAAGUAUUGGAGAGAUUCAAUAUGGACAAAGCAUAUCCUUCCAAAACCCCUAUGGUCAUUCGGUCUUUAGGUCUAAACACUGAUUCAUUCAGACCACAAGAUGAGGGGGAGGAAAUCCUAGGACCUCAUGUCCCAUACCUUAGUGUCGCUGGAGCACUGAUGUACCUUGCCAAUAGCACCAGGCCUGACAUCGCUUUCGCAGUGAAUUUGCUAGCAAGGCAGAGUGCCACUCCUACCAAGAGACAUUGGACAAGAGUAAAACAAAUUCUCAGAUAUGUUAAUGGCACAAGGGAUCUCGAAUUGUUCUUCCAAAGAGGAACAUGUUCUCAGAUGAUAGGAUACACUGAUGCUGGAUAUCAAUCAGAUCCCCAUAAUGGCAGAUCACAAAUUGGUUUCGUAUUCUUACAAAAUAGAACCGCCAUAUCAUGGACAACAUCCAAGCAAAUCUUGGCAACAACAUCCAUGAAUCAUUCUAAAAUAGUCACACUAUACGAGGCAUCACAUGAAUGUGUUUGGCUUCGCAGAAUGAUCAACCACGUACAACAAUCGUGUGGUCUUAAAGCUGUCACAGCUCCAACCAUUAUCUAAGAAGAUAAUGCGGCUUGUGUUACACAGAUGGAGACAGGCUAUAUCAAGAGCAUAUCAACAAACACAUCGCUCCAAAGUUGUUCUAUCCUCAUGAAUUAUAACAAAUGGAGAGAUUGAUAUCUUGAAAAUUAAAUCAUGCGACAAUCUCGUUAAUCUAUUCACUAAGUUCCUACCAACUUCCUCAUUUGAAAGAUGUGUCAAAGGAAUUGGUAUGCGACGACUUAGGGAUUUGCAAGGUUCAGGGGGAGAAAUCCCCUAGACAUUAGCCUGUCUACACCAUCAUAUUACACUCUUUUCUCUUUAUGAGUUUUCUCUCACAAGGUUUCUCCUAAGGAGUUUUUAAUGAGAUAAUAUUAACACAAGAGUGUCAUAUUCCUUGUUUUCCCCACAGGGGUUUUUAAAGGAGUAUCAAAGACACAUAUUGUCCUCUAAACUACAACAUGAGUUUUCUCCCGUAAAGGUUUUCUCAUAUUAGUUUACAAUGAGGCAAUCAUUAAGUGUUAUAAGUUUCUCCUUCUUUUCCCAAGCGGUUUUAAGGAGUUUUACUAUAGCACAUAUACAUACGUAUUUUUCCUCAUUUGUAUCCUAUAGGAUUUUUGGAGGAGCAAUAUGAUCCAUUGAUCUCAACAAAGCGAUUCAAUCAAGGGGGAGUGUUACAGAUAAAAUAUCCGUGUGAUCUCAUCUCCUCAGAUUCUCUCCCCAGAGAUCUAUCCUAAUAGCUCGAGGACUAAGACUUCUCCCACGACCCAUACGUGCAUGUGAAGACCGGUUUCCCCUCCGAGACUUCCCCCAUGACUCAUCGUGGGCGUCGUGAUUACUUGGAGGAAGAGGUUCCCCUCCCCCUCGACUUGUAUAAAUACCAAUCAAUGGAAUAAAGAAAGACACACCAAGUUCAUUUACUUCCUCUGUAUUCACUCAUACUUUAUAUUCCACUCGUAACACUACUAAGUGCAUCAACAACGGCAUUUGCCUUCUCGGGGUGAUAAUGUACCUCCAAGUCAUAGUCAUUGAUUAACUCUAACCAAUGAUGUUGCCUUAGGUUCAUAUCUGACGAUGUGAAGAUAUAUUUUAAUCUCUUGUGAUCCGUAUAGAUGUCACACUUGUGCCCAAUCAAGUAGUGUCUCUAGAUCUUAAGAGGAUGGACUACUGCUGUCAGCUCUAGAUCAUGAGUAGGAUAGUUCAAUUCAUGUUUUCUCAAUUGCCUGGAUGCAUAUGCCACUACUCUUCCUUCUUGCAUAACCACACACCCUAGGCCUAAGCGGGAUGCAUCACAAUACAUAGAGAAGCUCUUGCUUAAGUCUGGUAAGGUCAACUCUAGGGUUGUUGUCAACCUCUUCUUUAGUUCUUCAAAGUUAGCUUGGCAUUUGUCUCACUAGAUAAACUUAGCACUCUUCUCUAACAAAGCUAUCAUAGGCUUAGCAAGUUUAGAUAAUCCUUCAAUGAACCUUCUAUAGUACCCGGAUCUCACUUGCAUUGGUUGAGGGUUUCCAGUUAAAUACAUCUUGCACCUUACUAGGAUCUACGGCUAUUCCCCCAUUAGAUACAAUGUGUCCCAAAAAGGAGACCUCCUUCAACCAAUAUUCACACUUACUCCUUUUGGCAUAUAACUUAUGUUCUCUGAGCUUUUGCAAGAUUAGCCUCAGAUGCUCAACAUGUUCCUCUUUAGAACUCGAUGAACAUCUUGUUCAUUAGAGCAACUCCAACAGUUUUGUAAAUUUUGUUUGACAAAUGUUGUUAUUUGCCAACUCCCAAAAUGAUAUGGGGAGGGAACAAAAAGGACAUCUCCAAGUGUUUGGCAAUUUUGACUUGGAAAAAACAAAAUUCUACUGGUUCUAAAGAUCAACGAAGAAGCAUCAGGUGGUCAGCUUGCUAUAAAAGCACACGCAUGCAGAAUGCCAAGCCUAUUCUAGGUGUGCAUAAAUGCCAAGAAAGGAGGAGAAUUUGCCAACUUGCUAUAAAUGUCAAACCCAAUAGCCAAACUGUUGGAUAGGAGAUUUUGAGAGUUUUGGCAAAAAACAAGAAUGCCAAACCUAUUUGCCAAACUGUUGGAGUUGCUCUUAGGUACAUGAAGUAUGCAGGUGCAUUGGUCAACCCAAAAGACAUAACCAUAUACUCAUACAGGCCAUAUGUGGUAGUGAAGGUUGUCUUUGGUACAUCCAAUGCACGAAUUUUCAGUUGAUGGUAAUCGGAAUGGAGGUAAAUUUUUAGAACACAUAAGGACCUUUUAACUGAUCAAACAAAUCAUCAAUUCUAGGCAAUGGGUACUUGUUUUUUAUGGUUUCUUCAUUAAGCGACCGGUAAUCCACACACAUCCUCCUAGUACCAUCUUUCUUGUCAACAAAGAUAAGCGAUGCUCCCCAAGGUGAAGAACUAGGACGAAUGAAACCUUUUUCUAACAACUCCUCCUCUAGUUCAUUUACCCCUGUUCUAUAUGAUAUCUUAGCUAUGGGUGCAGUUCUAGGUAAAAGGAUCAAUAAAGAAUUCGAUGUCACGAUCUGGUGGCAUACCUAGCAAUUCAUCAGGGAACACGUCCGGAAAUUCAUUCACCACUUGAUCCUCCUUGUUGACCUUGUCAGUCAUCUGGUUCAUGGUAGCAGUUGGUGGUGCUUGCAUUGCCACCUCCACACAAAUUCUAUCUUCUUUUGGUGAUGUCACCACAACUGACUUCUCCUGGCACUGUAUCACUGCCGGAUGCUGCUUCAUCCAAUCCAUCCCUAGAAUGAGCUCAAUUCUAGAUGUUCUUAGCAUAGUAGGGCUCAAUUUGAACUCUACCCCCUUAGCAAGCAUGCUACCUCUAGAUGAAUUUACUAGCAUAGAGUUUUUCAUGGCAUAGAGCUAUGCUAUGUACACUAAAAAAAGCUUGCGAGAUGAAAGAAUGUGAAGCUCCAGAAUCAAAAAGUACAGUAGCAGGGAUGAAGUUGAUAAUGAACAUACCCAACAUAACCUUGGGUGCCUCUUGGGCUGUAUCGGAUGACACAUGAUUCACCCUACCGGUGUGUGGCGGUCGAGCACUGGGCCUCUGCAGAGCUGGCAGGUUAUGCUUCUUUGGGCAUUGAUGGGCAUAGUGGCCCACCUCUCCAUAGCGGUAGCAAGCGUUGGGAUUAUUGGUCGUGGCAUUCUUCACUAGAACAUUAUUGGGCCCAACCUGGCAUGGUGCCUGAGGGUUAGCCUGUUGUUGGGGUCGCUGGUUGCCGUACUGCUGCUAGUACUGAGGGCGCUGCUGGUUCUGGUUCUGAUUGCACUGAGGGUACUGAAUCUGGUUCCACUGAUUAGGGGCCUCUAAUUCCUUUGGAGAAAACCCUACUGAGGAAAAGCACGUAGGCGAGUGUUGCUAACAGAUGUCUGCCCCUAAAGCUUCCUCUUCUUGGCAUCCAUUUCCUUACACUUAUUGUCGAUCACAAUAGCAUGGUUCACUAGUUCCUGAAAACUAGGGUAGACAUUGGACAUCAACUACAAUUGUAGGCCAUUAUACAAACCCUUCAAAAAAUGACGCUGGUUGUCAGAAUCCUUCACCACCUUAUGAGGAGCAUAACGUGACAACUGAGCAAACUUGUCACGGUACCCAACCACUGUCAUAGAGCCUUGCUUGAGAGCUCGGAACUCCUCUUGCUUGAGCUCGAUGAGCCCCUCAGGAAUAUGGUAAGAUCAAAAACUGUCAGUGAACUCUCUCUAGGUGACGGGUGGUGCAUUUUUUGGGCGUUCAUAUUGGUAGGACUCCCACCAUUUUUGUGCAGCCCCUUGUAGUUGACUGGAAGCGUAUAACACUUUCUUAACAUCAUUGCACUGGGGAAUGUUUAGCUGUUUUUCCAGGGCUCUUAACCAGUCAUCUGCCUCCAACGGGUCAGAAGCAUGUGUAAACACUAGGGGACGUCCCUUCAUGAACUCUCCCUGCUUAUCUCGAACCUAAACAUGGGGUGGUACGACAGUAGGCUGGUUAUCAAGGCGGUCCAUCAUCGCUUGCAUCAACUGUGCCUGCAUCCCAAUAAGCUGCUCUACCGUCAUCAGCUGUAUGGGUGGUGGUGGAUCCAUAGGUACGCCACGACCAUGUCCACAGCCACAUACACAACCACGGCCUCUUCCUCUUUCGUCAGCCAUCUGUUUUCAACAAAGAACUGCAAGCUUUUUAGAGACUUUCCAAUAUUUAUAAACCGGUUACAACAAUAAAUAGCAUUGCUGAUUUUUUUCUGGACGGGUUGCAAAAACAGCAGUGCAGUAUUUAGUUCAUAACUCGAGUCUUACAGACCCAAUAGGGGCAUGCAAUACAAUGUUGGAAAGCUUAUGAAAUCUGUUACAACUUUUAUUUAGAACAUUUUUACAGAUUCUGAAACUAACUUAUUCAGAAACAGAGUUAAAGAGAAUCUGUUCUGAGUUCCAGUCUGUGCAGAAGUCUCAGAUUGUAACAGGUAUAUCUCCCAGAUCCUAGCAGAUAUUGACAUGGUUCCAGUGGAAAAUGAAAGAUACACAUAUCUAGUGUCCUCCACAAAAAAUUCAGAACUUUUGGACGAACGCCUUUAGAGAUAUGAGACAAAAAUCACAGGCUGCUCCAGAAAACAGUACAGCAACAGCAGGAUAGAACGAACCCGAACUAAACUUUCAUUAAUUAAAACUCAAAGUCUAAGAUAAUAGAAGUUUGUGGACAUGUCCACUGUAAAAAGUAAUGGGUGAACGGGAUGACCUUUCCUGGUUCCCGGUUAUGUGUUUAUAUAGUGGAGGGAAGAGCCCCCUCCGUGGCUUUACAUAGAGAUAGGUACAAUAUUGACUUGACUUGAUCUACAUUCUAUGCAUGUAUGCAUGGUAAACAAUGGUGAACACAACACCACGUGUUUUACUUCUAACACCCCUACUCAAUCUCAACCGGCCACUAGGUUGAGGUUGUUUCUGAAGGCUUCUACCUUGGUUGCAAUUAGAGGUUUUGUGAAACCAUCCGCUACUUGAUCUGCAGAGUUUAUGAACCGGAUAUCUAGGAGCUUCUGUGCAACUCUUUCUCGGACGAAGUGGAAAUCUAUUUCUAUAUGUUUAGUGCGAGCAUGGAACACUGGAUUUGCAGAAAGAUAUUUUGCACCAAUGUUGUCACACCAUAAUCGAGCUGCCCGAGGAUGAAGAAUGCCAAGUUCAUCAAGUAAUUUUUGAAUCCACAGUACCUCUACCGUGGCAUUAGCUAAUGCUUUAUAUUCUGCUUCAGUGCUUGAUUGUGAGACUGUGGCUUGUUUCUUGGCACACCAUGAAAUGAGGUUGGGCCCAAGAAAAACUGCAAAGCCACAUGUGGAUCUUCGAUCAUCAGGGCAUCCUGCCCAAUCUGCAUCACUAAAAGCACUUACCAUCAUAGAAUGAGAGGCCUGGAAUCAGAGUCCCAAUUUUAUAGUCCCCUGCACAUAGCGAAGAAUUCUUUUAACUGCACUCCAGUGCACCGUAGUGGGUGCAUGCAAGAACUGACACACCUUGUUGACAGAAAAGGAGAUAUCUGGCCUUGUCAAAGUUAAGUAUUGUAACGCCCCUACUAUACUCCUGUAGCGGGGCUUAACUUGUCACCAUCUGUAACACUGAGUCUUUCUGAGCUGGCAAGUGGUGUGCUUACUGCUUUGCACUUGGCCAUACCGGCUCGAUAUACAACAUCUGUGGCAUAUUGCUCUUGUGACAGAACUAAACCCUCUCUUGAUCUCUUGACUUCUAUACCCAAGAAGUAAUGAAGAUCACCCAAAUCUUUGAGUGCAAAUGCAUGUUCUAGAUUCUUGAGUAGUGCAUUUGUAGCUUCUGUCGAUGAACUGGCGACAAUAAUGUCGUCGACGUAGACUAAGACAAAUAUGGUGUAUCGGCCGUUAUGGUAGAAGAAUAGUGAUGUGUCUCCUUUGGAUGGAAUGAAGCCUAAGGACUCAAGUUUCCCACAGAGCCUUGCAUACCAGGCACGGGGUGCUUGCUUGAGGCCACAUAGGGCUUUAUCAAGUUUGCACACCCAUAAUGGCCUAUUUUUGUCAACAUAGCCCGGAGGUUGAUGCAUGUACACUUCUUCUUCAAGGAUGCCAUGGAGAAAUGCAUUUUGAACAUCUAGUUGUCUGAGAGACCACCCUCUAGAUACUGCAAUAGAUAGAAUGAGUCGAAUUGUGGUUGCUUUAACAACUGGACUAAAGGUGUCUUCAUAAUCAAUUCCAUAGUUUUGUUUAAAACCCUUAGCAACAAGUCUAGCUUUAUGUCUAUCAAUUGAGCCAUCAGAUUUGCGUUUUACCUUGUAGACCCACUUGCAAUCUAUGAUGUUUUUAACUUUGGGUGGAGGAACAAGAUGCCACGUUCGAUUGCGAUGCAAGGCUUGCAUCUCUUGAUUCAUAGCCGUGAGCCAAUUUGAGUCAUUGAGAGCUUCACGGACGGAUGCUGGUUCUUCAGAGACCGUUGCUGACAUUCCCCAAGGUAUUGUGCCAUCGGUGCGACGUUUGGGACACUUGAUUCCUUGUGACAGGCGAGUUACUGGUCGACUCGACACAGGGGCAGCAGCAGGAUCUAGAACCGCAGAGGAUCUCGGGAGGGAGAUCUCAACAGGAGCAUGCGCCGGCAGCCGCAAAUCUGUGGGAUCCGCUGGAGAAGCCACAUCCAGGGCCGCAGGGUUGGUGUGAGUGGCCGCAGAGUUGUUUGGCGUAGAGGAUCCGUCGUUGAUCGGAGCGGUUGGGGAAGCCGCGUCCGUUGGUACAGAUGUCGCAGCAGGAGAAGGGCUCGGUGCCGAGGGCGACGCAGCACCGUGCGGAUGCAUCAGUCCCGAUUAGGAUCUAUGCUGGGCAGUCUGACGCGCUCCAGAUGGAUCUGAAUCGAGGUUCGUGCCGCCAUUGUCGUUGUUCCCUCCAGAGAAACACAUGAAAUAACGAGGAUGAGCCGCUGUUGGUGCAGCGUUUGACGCCGUUUCUUCAUCAAAAUUGGAUCGAUUUGUUCCUGCAUCUUCAAGGCUACGAGCAGAGCUUGGAGACAUGUUAGAUGCAGGGUUAGUGUCAUGCUGGUCAUGCAAAUUUGCAUCCCCAAAAGAGGUGGAAUUUUUUAGAGAAUCUGGGAGUAGGAGGAUUUCACCUCUAAGUUGUGCUCCGGCGUUUGGGUGUAGUGCAGAGAAAGGAAAAACAGAUUCAUCGAACACGAUGUCUCUGGAAAUAUAAACACGGCCUUCAGAUGGGUCUAAACACUUGAACCCUUUACGAGAGUUGUUGUAACCAAGGAAGACACAUUGUUUAGAGCGAAAUUGUAGUUUUUUUGUAUUGUAGGGACGCAGAUUUGGCCAACACGCACAUCCAAAGGUGCGUAGAAAGGAAUAGUCAGGUUUCUUGCUCAGAAGGCGCUCAUGAGGUGUGGUAUUUUGAAUGAUUCGGGAAGGAAGGCGAUUAAUAAGAAACAUAGCUGUUAAGAAGGCUUCAUCCCAAAAUUUUAGAGGCAUACUAGCAUGAGCAAGAAGAGAUAGUCCAAUCUCAACAAUAUGUCUAUGUUUGCGUUCAGCGGCCCCGUUUUGCUGAUGUGCAUGAGCGCAUGAAAUAUGGUGUUCAAUUCCUAUGCGUCGGAAAAGGAGUUUAGGGUUUGGUAUUCACCUCCCCAAUCAGAUUGGACCUUUAAUAUUUUUCGAUCAAAUUGUCUUUCAACAAGAUUUUAGAAAUCUUUGAAGCAGGAGAAUACUUCAGAUUUAUGGCGCAGUAGGUAAAUCUAUGUAAAUUUGGAAUAAUCAUCAAUAAAGCUUACAUAAUAAUUGUGUUUCCCGACCGAAGUUGGUGCGGGUCCCCAAACAUCAGAAAAAAUCAACUCACAAGGCUUGGCUGAAAUGCUGGUUGACUUAGGGUACGGUAGCUGAUGACUUUUGCCCCGUUGACAUGCAUCACAAAUUGAAUUGUUAUUUGGAUUGGAAACAUAAGGAAGAUCAUAAUUAUCUAAAAUUUGCUGAACUACAGCAGAGGAUGCAUGCCCUAGUCUAGCAUGCCACAAUGAUGAUGACGGCUUGAAGGCGCCAAGUGCUUGUUUAUUGGAUGACAGCUCGAGAGGAUAGAGGCCCCCUUCAGACCUGCCUCGAAGAAGAGUUCUCUUGGUCCCCUGCUCCUUAAUGAAAAAAUGGUUUGGGUGAAACUCAAGAAAAGCAUUGUUAUCACGAGCUGAUCGAUGGACAGAUACGAGGUUUUUGCUAGUUUGAGGAACAUGAAGGAUAUUUUUAAGAUGGAUUUGGCUAUGUGGGGAUUGCAAAGAGCUAUGACCAAUAUGACAAAUAUUCAUACCUGCACCAUUUGCAGCAUGCACCUGCUCAUUGCCGUUGUACCUGUCGCGGAUUGUUAACUUCUCGAGGUCUCUGGUGAUGUGAUCCGUAGCCCUGGUGUCCAUAUACCAAUUGGUAUCUACACCGUAGGAGGAAGAAGUAGUAGCGGCCGCCGUCUUCUGAGGAGGGCCACCGUUGUAGUUGGUGUCGUAGCGGUUCCAGCAGCGGUAGGCCGGAUGUCCUUCGAGUCCGCACACUUGGCAGAUGAUGCCGGGUUCGAUGUUUUGGUCGCGUCCUUUGGUGACGUUGCCGCGACCGCCCUUGGGGCCACGGCCAGGUCCCCCACGACCGCCGCGUCCGCGCGAGUUGGUGAAGUUGGUGGGCGGUCCGUCCCCUCGACCACCACGGGCAGCCAUGUUGACGGAGGACUGAGGAGUUGUACCACGAAAGGCCACGCGUUGUUCAUGGGCCACCAGCUACGCGUAGAGUUCGGAGAUGGUGAUUGGCUCCACACGGGUGGCGACAGAGGUGACGACGGACUCGUAGUCGAUGUCGAGGCCGGUGAGGAUGUACGAGACGAGUUCCUCGUCAUCCAGCUUGCGGACCGCCGAUGCCAUGUCAUCAGCGAGCCCCUUCAUCUUCGUAUAGUACUCGGCCAUAGACGAAGAUCCCUUCAAUGCUGUGGCGAGUGCCAUCCGCGUCGAGAUGACACGAGCACGAGACUGGGAGGCAUGUUGCUCCUGAAUGGCGGCCCAUAGAGUAGCCGCGGUUGUGGCGGAUGAGACUGGGCCAAAGAUCUCUUUCCAGAGAGAGGAAAACAAGUAGCUGAGGACCUGUUGGUCCUUAGCGAUCCACUUGUUGUAUUCUGGAUUGGGGGUGGGAUCGGGUUUGGGUGUGGAUGAAUCAGCCGGGGAUGCCGGCGUGAUGAAUUCAGAUGGAGGUGUGGCAGAUGGGGAGAUAUAUCUCCAGCACUCGGCUCCCUUGAGUGUGGCGGAUACCUGGGCAUACCACAUGGAAUAAUUGCCCUUGGUGAGUAAGACGGUGGGAGGGGGAGGAAACCGAAGGAGAAUGCAGCGGAUUGCGCCAUGGAUCGGAAGAAUUGUUUCCGUAUGGAAUAUGGAGCUAGAUACCAUGUAAAAAGUAAUGGGUGAACGGGAUGACCUUUCCUGGUUCCCGGUUACGUGUUUAUAUAGUGGAGGGAAGAGUCCCCUCCGUGGCUUUACAUAGAGAUAGGUACAAUAUUGACUUGACUUGAUCUACAUUCUAUUCUAGCCUAUGCAUGUAUGCAAUAUUGACUUGACUUGAUCUACAUUCUAUUCUAGCCUAUGCAUGUAUGCAUGGUAAACAAUGGUGAACACAACACCACGUGUUUUACUUCUAACAUCCACAACCUUCCAGCAGUCAUUACAAAAAUCCAAAUCAUACAAUGACAUAAAAGAAGUUCAACUGGCACAUCAAAUGUUCACAUCCACACAAGACUCAACUGACUCAACGAGACUACGAGAUAAAACUGAUAUGGCAUCCUACUCCUAUGGUGCAUUGCCGGUGAUGCUGGGCGGUGGAGUCUUCUUCUUGUAAAGCAGUGGUAGUCCAAGCUGCUCUCUGAGGUUGUUUGUCAUUUCCUUGGAAGCGAUCCAAGGACUCCUGCUUGUCGCGCAAUUCCUCCUGUAGGUCCUCAUUAGCCAUCUGCAAGACAUGCAUAUGUCUGACAGUGGCAUCCAAUGGUGUGUCGACCUCCUGUGGGUUCUCAGUGGACCAAGUACCAAUGGUGGAGUCAUAGCAACGAAGGAUCAUGACCAAUUACGCAGCCAUGAAUAUAAAAGGUACAUGUAAAGGAAGAAUCGCAAUAGGCCCUGAGCAUUGCCUGAGUUAGCAGGAAAAAGAAAGAGAUGUAAAUUGUGUAACGGUAGCCGAAUCACUACAAACCAGACAUUAAACAUGGUUUAUGAUGGAGUCAUGACAGCAGGUGCCCAUUCACUACAAAAUAAAUCCAACAGCAAAGGAUACACAAAAAAUAAUAAGUAAUCAUCAUAGAGUUGACAUUAGGUAAGAGCAAAAUCAUAUUUUAGAUAGAAAAGUUAUAUUCAUUGCAAGCCCAAUUGUAAAUACAUCAUUGACAAUUGGAUGUGCUCAGUAAUAGAACAACCAAUAAAUUGCAUGAAGCAAAUACAUUGUUGACAAUAGAUGUAUGGCGAUCAACAAAUGGAUAAAAAUCUGCAACUAAUAUAACAAUAUUGUCACGAUAAAGGUACCAAAAAUAGCAACAUUCAUGGAAGAAUGAAAUACUUAUGUAAUAAUCACUGAACAAUUCAAUUAUUUCAGUCUAAAAAAGAUCAUCAUUGCACAAUCCCCAAGCCACAGUAUAUAAUAUGAAUAUAACAAUUAAUCAUGUCUGUACAGGGAAGGAUAUCAAUUCUGCACAGGAGGAAGGGGAGGAAGGGGAGGGAGCAGGGGAAAGAGGAAGGAGAAGGAGAAGGAGAGAGAGCUAACACCGGAGUUUAAGGUUUGAUCCGUCUGGCAUGGUACCUAGGGUUUCGCUGAGUAGAGGAGCGCAUGCUUACCAGGCGAGAGGAGGCAUCGAGGAGACCGCACGGACGAUGGGGGACAUGGGGAAGGGGGCGUUAGGCCCCACCUUGCCGACGCACCAUCCCUGCGAACGCUGACGCCUCACGCCCGCGCUGCCUGGCCGCUACAGCCUGAGGAGGGAAGGGGAGAAAGAGAGAGGAAGGGGAGAGGGAGGAGGAGGAGGAGGGUGGGUGCCGCCGCCGCGAGCCGGUCGCAGCGGUCGACGUCGCGCAUGGUUGCGUCGGAGAGCAAGGGCGAGAGGGACAGCGGGGCGAGUAGAGGUAGGCGGCGGUAUUUUUUUCUCUAGGGAGUCGGAUGAAAGCGGAGAAGGGGUGGUAGAAGCUGAAACCCCGGUUAUAUAUAUACCGUACUGUUGCUACUGCACAAAAGCUAGUAGUUUACGUUGAGAACAGUAAGAAGCUGCGAGGAGCCAGUAGAAUCUGCACUGUAUAAUUAGAAGUUGGUUCUAGAAAAUCCUACGGGAGAGACCUAGACUGUUGGAUUGGCAGAUACAACGGACGAAAACAUUUUAGCCGAUGUGGAUAGGGCUUCUGCUGCAGGAGCUGACGCGGUUUGUAGAGGUGAAAUUUCUAGGGAUAAUUAGAAAUUAUAUAUAGCUCAUAUAUUAUAUAUAAAAUGACGAAGCGCCUCUAAAUUGUUUAUGCAUGUAUGGUAACGGUUGAACUUGAACAUCUAGUAUCAGAGAAUCAUACUAUCACUAGAGCAGUGCACGGCGUUGGCGCGCGUGGAAUGUGCCCGCACAUUAUUUUUGGGCUAGUUUGCAUAGUUGGACCAUACUUUAAUGGAGUAAGAAUUUUAGACCUUUUAACAUUUUUUAAGAAGUAUAGACGUGUAGUAGCUCAGAAAGUAUGUAUGAACUUUCCCAGAGUUGCGUACUGUCAGAAGUUAGCAUCACCAUGUCGGUGGAUUGCCAUCCAACGGUUUAGGUUUGUCAAAUGAUAUUAUGAUGACAUGGCAAAAUACUUUUUUGUUAACGCGACGCGGUUAAAGUCAUUAAAGAUAGUACAAAACAAAUGCAACAAAAAAAUUAUAAAAUAGAAACUGUAGCACUUUCAUUUGUAUUUAAUAAAUAUUAUCCAAUCACUUGAGUUUAUCAGCCGAAUCUGUCUGCCAUUCAGUAGUGUUUUUCUCAUAAUAAAUUAGCCAACAAUACUUUCUGUCAUGACUUAUCAGCCAAACGAACAAGGUCGUCUUGCAAAUUACAGAUAAAUUGUACACUUAGUUAUUUUUUAUCUAUAUUUAAUACUCCAUACAUGUGCCAUAAAAUUCGAUGUGACAUGGAAUCUUGAAAAAUUUUGCAAAAUUUUUUUAGAACUAAAGAGUGUUAGCCACCAUGUACCUGUUCUACAUACGACAUACGGUGAGCACUAAGAAUGAAAACAGUCGGAAACGGUCGAAAAACUCUUAAAUUGUUUUCUACUUUUACAUUUGAAAUACGAAAACAAAUACAAAAACGUAAAGUCGGACAUAAAAACGAACAUGAACUUACGAAAUAUCGAGAAUUCCGAAAACGAACCAAUUCAAGCGGAUUUAUGUCGAACAUGAAAACCUAUGUUUUAAAUAGCGAGUUAAGGUCAAGGUGUUUAGCGUUUUAUAAAUCGUAAUUAACGUACUUUAGCGACAAAAUUGUGCAUGAACGCAAAUAGCAACACAAUUUUUUUCAAGCUAUUUCGAGCUAUAGCGGCAAAAAUAGCGGGCUAUUUUUUCCAUGAUGAAAACUCAAUACAGAAUAUUGAUUUGUAGUACCAAGUGCAUGACUAAGUAUAUGCACGAUCAAGUUCAAAUGUAUAUAAUAAUUAAAAAGUGCAUGAUCCUUGGUCUUAGGUAUUUAAUGCAAUAGCCCACACAUUAAUAAAGUCUAGAACAAGUAAUUAAUAGCUAGCAUGAACGUAGCUGACUACCAGUAGAAAGAACGCGGGUGCAUGGUGAGUAGUCUGUAAUUGGGCUGUGUGACCGUACAGUUGUUUAAAUUUGGUUUAAACUAAGGUUUGAAUUCGAAAUAUUUCAAAUUAAAAGUAGAAAAGUAGAAAACGGUUAAAAAUUAUCUAAACCAUUUUCUACUUUUAUAUUUAAAAUACAAAACAUCUAAAAUACGAAAGCGAAAACGAUAAAGUCAGACAAGAAAAUACGAAUUCAAUUAGGUUAAAUAUAGAAAGCUAUUCAGUCCGGUUGGGGAUAUUUUCGUUCCAUUUUCACCGUUAGUGAGCACACAUAGGCCUUAUUUAGUUCCCAAAAUUUUUUGGGUUGGUGUACUAUAACAUUUUUGUUUCUAUUUGAUAAACAUUGUCCAAUCAUGGAGUAACUAGGCUCAAAAGAUUCAUCCUACGAUUUACAGAUAAACUGUGCAAUUAGUUUUUAUUUUUAUCUAUAUUUAAUGCUCCAUGCAUGUGUCACAAGAUUCGAUGUGACGGGAAAUUUUGAAAAGUUUUGGGUUUUUGGAGGUAACUAAACAAGGCCAUAACAAACGAGGCUUUGUUUAGAUGCGAAAUUUUUUUGAAUUUCACUACUGUAGCACUUCGUUUGUUUGUGACAAAUAUUGUCUAAUUAUAGACUAACUAAGAUCAAAAGAUAUGUCUCGUGAUUUACUGUGUAAUUAAUUUUUGUUUUUAUCUAUAUUUAAUGCUUUAUGCAUAUGUCGUAAGAUUUAAUGUGACGAAAAAUUUUGAAAACUUUUUGAUUUUUGGGCGAACUAAGCCGGAAUCUUCUUUGGCUCGCGCUCCUCCGCCGCACCUGCGUCUCUGGCCCGCCGCUGGCUCGCGCUCGCUCCCACCUGUGUCCUCCACCUUCCCUGCGCCGGGCGCCUCCGCCACCUGCGACCCCACCUCCGCCAUGCUCGCUCUGGCUGCCUCCGCGGAUGCCCUCGACGCGGGUGUCCCCAGCCGGCAAUAUAUUUCUUUGUAUAUUCAUUUCAUAGAAAUAAUUUGUAAAUGUUUCUAAAAAAUCGAUAUAUAUUUCUCUGAAAUUUGCAAUUCAUAUAUAACUAUAGAAAUUGUGUUAUCCCCAAAUUACAUCACUUUGUCUGAUAAGUUACAUCGAAAAAACAUUAUAAAUAAAAUAAGACCGUGUAAAUAUAGCUGCAUAGGCAAAAAAUCAGUUGCCAGGAGCUUCUAAAACUUUCAGUUGCUUUGCUAGGUAGACAGCUAUUUAAAUCAUCACACGGAGCUGCAGUCCGCCGGCUGGAAGGAGAGCACGCCUUGUCCGAGGUCGUAGAGCAGGUGCAUGUCCUGCUGCAUGUAGUUGCCGAUGAUGGUCGUCUCGUUCAGCGGCAGCGUGCUGUUCGGCCCUCCCGAGCUGAACACCACCAUGCACGCCGUGCUGUCGUCCACGGGCCCCCAGUAGUUCUCCGGCGGCACCACGACGUCCCCGCCGCCGCCGCCGCCGCUUCCGAAGUGCAGGACCAGCGGGGGCACCAGCUUUCCGGCGUCCCCCGGCGCCACGCCGCCGACGCACAGGUCGAGCCCUUCCGCCCCGGCCGGCGGCGGCACGACGCUGGCGCCCAGCUGCCGGACGAGCUCAUCUCUCAGUGCCUGGUACGCCACGUCGAUGAGGCUCGUGAACGGGGAGCCCGAGUCGAUGAGCGUGCCGCCCCACUUCGCCGGCGCGACCUCCCGGAGGUCGAACGCGGCCGCGGGGACGUCGAGCUUGGCUGUCCCCACCGUGAUCCCAGUGAGGGGAAGGUAGUAGAACGAGUCGAACGGGUCGUCGUCAGGGUUCUUGAGGAACGGCACGGACGUCGCCGGCGCGCCGCCGCCGCUCAGGCCGGCGGACGCGCCGACGAACAGGGUGCUCGUGUUCGCGGCGUCGCUGAAGUAAGGCGUGAGGCAGUAGGAGAACUUGUUGUCGCCGAGCUGCGACGGCAGCGACAGCUUGCCCCUGCCCAGCCCGAUGAUGCCGGACGCGCCGUCCAGGGAGCCCGGCGUGAGCCUGCUCGCGGUGAUGCACCCGAAGGCGAGGCUCACGUUGUUCUCCGACGACUGGCCGUGGCCGAACGUGAACACCUCGGUGCCGAGGAACCCGCCGAUGGCGCCGGCGCCGUAGGCGGUGAGCACGGCGCACGCCUUGCCGUCGCGCGCGCACCGGGUCUCGGAGCCGAGCAAGCACGCCGUGUCGUUGCACGCCACGGGCUUGGCCGUGCGCGACCGGGACGGGUCGUAGAAGGUGAGGUCCUGGCCGAAGCAGCCGUUCGCACGGCAGGUGGAGCACUGCGUCCAGAUGAGGUUGCUGCCGGUGUCGAUGAUGGCCGCCGCCUGCUGCGGCGGGUCGCCGAUGAGGUACUCGGCGAUGUACUGUGUCUCGUUCCAGUGGAUGGGCGCGCUCGCCUCGCCGCCGCCACCGGCCAUGGACGCCAGACGGCGGUGGGUGCGCUCGGUGGCACGGCGCAUGCGCUCCUUGGUGGUGCAGUUCUGCUUGGCGUCGACGUGGGUGAGCUCGAGACGGAGGCCUGCUGCUGCUGCUGCUGCCGCCGCGCAGGUGGAAAACGCCAGGGCGGCGCACAAGAGCGCGAGCCAGAGCAAGUUUCUCGAGGGUCUCGCCAUUUUUGUGGUAUGUACUGAGCUCCUUGGCGUCUGUGUGUGCAUGUGGGGAAGUAUAUAUACACGCAAGCAAAUGAGUGAAGAAUUAUUGGAUAUUUGGAUGGGAAAUAAAAUGUCCAUAUGUCGACAUUGCAACCUUUUAAUUGCAAUGGGUGUAUUUGAAAUUUACAAUUUUUUUUGUAAAUUCAAAAUAACAAAGUUUUGAUAGGAUAAGCACGAGGUUUAUAUAUCUAUACUGGCUAUGUUAUUGACGAAGAUCACGCGGAUAUAUUAUUUGAUCAUGCAUCAAGUUGACUAGACUUCAUCUACCUAGCUAUAUAUGUUGCUGAGUUAAUGUUUAAAUGGAACAGUUAAAGGUUAUUGCGUAUUGGCAGAUGUCAUUCAUGACAGUGAUGUUUACGUUGGAAUUCACGUCUAGCAAGAGCAGAUACAAUACAAAGGCGCGCAACCUUCCGAAGCAGAAGAAUUACGUAUUGGGCGAUGCUAUCAAUGAGUAGGUAGGAGUGGCAUUUUUGCUGUCAGUGACUUGGUCAUCCGAAAUUCCAAAUAAAAACCUACGUAUAAAUUAAGAUUAUUCUUCGGCAAGUGGGUGGCAAAUCCACGUCUAAUCUCCAAAUGCCAAACAUUUGUUCGAUCUUGAUGUAUAGAAAAUGCUCCGUGCUAAAUAUAUUAAUUCUUGCAUUGUACCUCUAGAAGCUCGGAACUUGAUCGCUCUUUUGGUGGUAAAGAUCGAUAUUUUUUUGGCACUCGAUCUCUUGUAGAGGACAAUCAGGUGGCAUCAUGUUGGCUGUUAGCCUCCAAUUGUUUGAGAUCUCUUCAGUACUAUAACUUUCAUUUAAGUCCUUUCUCCAUAGAGAUCAUUUGAAAAUAUUUGACCAUACAUCAAGUGGGUGGCAAAUCCGCGUCUAAUCUCCAAACGUCAAAGCAUUCGUUUUUACUUAUAAAAAUGCUAGGCGCUAAAUAUGUCAAUUCUUGUGAUGUACAUUAUGUACAAGCUCGCAAAACCAUCUACUUUAUCUUACUAGAAAAUUGGACCCCAUAUUACAAAAUAUAUUAUUUUUUGACAUGUACUAUAUAUACAAGUUAGGAACCAUUUAUUAUAUGUUAUACUUCAAAAAAAAGAUACUAGUAAGGGCAAUCGCAACAACCCAAAAACUAGGUGUUUCUAUGUUUAUUAGUUAGGAUGAUAACUAAGCAAAAUGGUGAUGUGGCAUUGUAAUUAAUGAAGAGAGGUGAGAAAAUGAUUUUUUAGAGAAGAAAUUAUAUCUACAGGGAACCAAUAUAAUGAAGAAAUGUGAUAGGCUGAUAGGAGAGAGAUAAUUACAUUGUUGGACAAUAUUUAUUUUGAAGAAACCAACCAUUGAAAAUAUGAUUUCUACAUGUAGUGUCUAGAUGACUUAGCAAGUAUAUAUAUAAACUAUCUCAUAACUUUUGAAUUGUGACUACCCUAAAUAUAAAUGUGUGUUGCUAUGGACCAAGCUACUAACUUUUGUUUGGUAAGGCUUCUUUGCAAAUGGUUUCACCUAAGAAUACAGAGAAGCCGAAGAAACCAUGUUUUGGUUGUGGAGACAUCGAGUUAGUGUUUGGUAGUGUUUCAUUAGAAAAGUUAGAGAAGCCAGAGUUGAAGAGAGCCUAAAAACCUAGAACCAUCUUAUCCAUAGUGGAGUUUUACCUCACAUGGGUCAGAUUGACAGCCUAGGCAAAGGUUAAGGCGGCCACAAUCUCUGAGCUUCUGUGCAUGAGCUAAGUAGGCUUAAUGAUGCUAGUACAUUCCAAACACGAUGUUGCUUUAGCCCGACAGUGAGUUGUCUUUUCUUUUCAAUUGUUGAUAUUUUAGUUUUUAGUAUUUAUUGUUUGUUUGUGCAUGAAAUUUUCUAUAGGAGUAUUGGACCCAUAAGUAUUUGCAUAUUCUGCAAAAAACAUAUAUGGCAUAUUUGUUAAUUUGGCAAAGAUGAGUCUUCUCAGUUAAGUGCUAGUACUUAUGGAUUAUAUUAGCGUGGGAACUGAACUAUGCUGCCUUCCUAUGCCAAUCUGCCAUGACGAAGCUAUAAGUCAUCCUCAUGCUGCAGCUCAGAAGCUCACCAUCCAUACACCAUUAGGCUCUGUUCAGUUCACAGGGAUCCAAUGCCCAAGCUAUUUUUUUCAAAUAUGGGAAUAAGUCACUACCAGAAUCUAGAAUUAUCUUUAGUACCAAAAACUACCAAUAGAAUGCUAAAAUUGUCAAAGAAUAAUCCUUGGCUAUUAACCAUCAAGCAAAUUCUGUCAAGGAUACACAUAAGGGAAAUUCAUUUUCUUAGCGGUUUUGUCACUUGAAUGAUGAUUUUCUUGGAGACUAGCUGUGAAGGAAAUUAAGAGAACAACUAAUUUUGCAAAACAACAAGAAAAUGUUCAAACCUUCAAGUAAAUUAGUUUUCCUUAGUGUCGGUAACCUCCAAGGAAAUAUUCUAGAACCCCAGGUAAUUAUUAUUUCCUUGGCUACCCUUCCCUCCAAGGAAAUUGUGGUUUUUCUUGACUAUCAUUAACCGCCAAGAUAGUUCUGACUUUGUAUUUGCAAAUAAUUAAUCAAAUAAAUUAUAAUAUUUGAGUCACUAAACUCAACUAACAUAUGAUGAAAUGCAUAUAAUUUUUUUGUAGUGGGGCAGCAACACUCUUGUUCUUCCGCCUUCAAUGCUUAUAGAGGAGCUGAAACAUUUAUGAUGGAGCAUCUCCAUUGAUCCAAGGGGAUCGCCAAAAUAAGGCUUUUGUCAUUGUGUACAUGUACCCUUGUGGUAGCCAUGAAUGAUCAAAAUCCACCACAUCUAUAGGUAACUCCAUCUGGACCCAUGGUUUGUGUGGUUAAGUCCAAGGAAACCAGAGCUAAAGUUGAGCAUGCAGCCCGCAGGCCAAAGACACGGCCCAAAGCACGGUCAUUUGGCCCGGCCCGAGCACGGCACGGCCCGAUCCUAACUGGGCCCGAGCCGGCCCGAAGCACGUUGCGGGCCGUGCUUGGGCCAACCCCUCGGCCCGCUGGGCGGCACGGCACGGCACGCUUUUAACAGCAGGCACGGUGUCGGCACGGUAUCCGAAAAUUUGUGAAACUUGAAGUAUCAGGUUCUAUGACUUGUGAAACUUGUAACUUUUGGCAAGUAAAAUAUGAUAUGAGAGUAUAUUGUGUUAUGUGAAUUGUGAAGUAUUAAUGUAUGUGACUUGAAUGUAAUGUAUUUAUGCUUUGUUAAAUUCUAUAUUAAAUUUGGUGUUUUUCAUAUAUCGGGCCAUGGGCCGGCCCGAAGGACUAUUGGGCCUCGUGCCUUUCGGGCCGGCCCGGCACGAAAAUCGGUCCACGGGCCGUGCCUGGGCCGUCAGGCAGGCACGAUGGCCUGUGGAGGCACGGGCCGUUGGCACGCGGGCCAUACGGGCCCGUGCCCUUUCGGGCCGUGCCUAGCACGGGCCCGUUGCUCAUCUUUAACCAGAGUCAACACAAGCAAAGUGUGCGAGCAAAAUGUUCCAGGUCUGGAAUUCCAUGUCCUCCAAGAUGGGUUGGCCAAUCUGCUUUCUUCCAACUAACCUUGCAUUUGCCUCCUUUGAGCUCCUCACAUCCCGCCCACAAAAAUGCAUGUCUUUCUUUGUCCAAAUUCUUAUUGAACUAUAGUUUAAUUAUCUGCAUGUUGAAAUAAGAACUACUACAGACUUUUCAGUUGAACAAUGAUGAAGCUGAAUAUUAGUGAUAUGGACUAUUUUGUUGGAGAGCAGGUUUAACAUCUAAGAUGACCACUAGAAAUGCUCUAGUCAGCUAGUAGUAGCGUUAAGUGAUCGAUGCCAAUACAUGAAGUUGGAUAUCAGUGAUCAUUCAAUGCAGCAAAUAAAAUGAGAUAGAUUGCCAAGCUUUAUGAGGUACAAAAUAUAUUAUACGAUAUAUCUCUAUAUGUUAGUAUUUCUUAAUGCAAACAGAAAUAAUCCACAAACACAUAGAAUUACCGUUAUAGUUCACCUGGAAUUAUUCAAAGUAUCAUAUUUUCCAUAGGGAGCAGAGGUACUCUUCUAGCUAGUUCAUCUAAGGACAAAACAAUGGUAGAGUUGGUAGAGGUCAAGAUGGAUUCCUAUGGCUUUAAGGUCUAUGGAUAGAUAAAUUUUGCUUCUACUCACUCACUUUGGGCAACGUGAGCACUUGGUCUGCCAAGCGUUGCUAGUCUGUAGCUCUACAUCAAACACGAACAUAGGGGAUUACAAGGGACGGAUAGGGUUGUCACCACCUAUUUCCUAUCCCUCUAUUGUGGGUCACGAGGCAAACAAAGGUAGCCUCUAGCUUAGACAUCACGUCUACGCUAUCGACUACUACUCUAGCAUCAUAUAGGGUUAUCCAUUUUAUCAGGAGCCCUCUACUAGAGUAUCUACUACAAGAAUGGAUGAUGAACCUGCAGCAAAUAAGAGUGAAACUUAACUAAAAGAAAAGGACUCAAUACCACAAGAACCAUGAACACUCACUUAGCGAAAGAAUCCGUCGAGGUAUAGGUGUUUGUUGAGGUACAAGAUGUUGAGACACCAAUAAGUCUGGUGCUUCCAUGAGCUCUCCUCACAUCCUAGCCAUCUAGGAUUCAAAGAAUCCAAGAGUAACAAAUUGAAAACCAACCACUACCUAGCACUAAAACUCCACAAAUGCCCAAGAAUGGAAAUUAGCCCUUAGAGAGGAUCUCUAUUUUUUUCAAUUGUCACUUAAGAAGAUUGUUGGGAUUGACACCUUUGGCAAACAACACCCUCUUCAUCGGGGGCCUCGAUUGAUGUUUCUUACAUGAUCUCGAAGGUAUAAAGCCAUAGCUCGGAGUACCUGCAAGGACGCAAAGGUCUGAGUUGGCAGAUGGUGGAGGUGGUUUUGGAGCUUCCUAAUAGCCUGAGGACACCCUUAGGACACCACAUCUUUGCAAUGGAGACAAUAACAAGGGCAAAGGUGGCAAAUGAAAGAUGUUGUAGGUUCAUUACCAUGAAGAGUAAUUAGAAUGCCGAUGUGUGACCUCCAAUGGCAUAACACUCAAGGCACUAAGGGUUUAUUUUGGUCUGAGCUCACGUCCUACGUCCACCAACGAUUUUGUAUUUUGAGCGUUCGAGAGAGAGGGGGUUACAAUCAAGCAGGGGAGAGAGAUGUGUAGUUAUAGGGAGUUGCAAGAGUUCUUGCUUUGCUUCCAUUGCUAAUGGUGUCAUGCCUGUCUUAUAAAGCAAGAGAUACAAGAUGGUUCUUUGAGAUGUAGUGGACUGACAACGAAGGUUGCGGUGCGAGAUCCCUAGGAUAUGCUAUGUGGAUCAUGGAUCUGGCCAUCUUGGUCUUUGCAUAGUGCGAACACAAGGUCGAGAAGUACCCUUGUGGUACGUUUUGUGAUGAGUGAUUGUCAACGUGAUCCACGAAUAGGUUGAGUUGGUGACUAACAUUACCAUGGCGAAAGCUACGUGUGCGACAUGUCUCUUGGCUUGUGGUGUUCAGCUGUGGAGCUCGGAGGCGGUGGUCGACGGCGAGGUGAAGGUCAAGUAGAGACGUGCCGUGCUGAUGGACCUGGAGCGGUGAAGGACGGACGUGAGGCUUGGACUGACGGACCAGGAGGCCGGGUGACCAGCCGUAGUGGCUGACAUCUGGGACAUCGACAAGUGCGAGUGUACAUGGGAGUGACCGUGUUGACCAAGUCAAGACGGCAGACGCGAGUCGAGCGAGGCUCAGGAGGACUUAGCGGGCCGGCCAGUCGAGGACGGCGGUGACACGUGUCGAGUGGCGGGGAAGCAUAUGGAGUACGCUACUCGUGGCGGGUUUCGCGGGUUUGGGCCUCAAAACCCGGGCGGAGGUCCCGAUGCGGACGGAUGGCACGUGGCGGCAUCGAUGAGAUCGCUUCGGAGCGAGGCUACCGGUGAGGAGGCGCGGUGGCCGUCGGAUUUAGGUCAUGUCGAGUUGGACUAGAAUGCCCAUGGGGCUAGCUAGUUCGCUCAAAAAUAUCUAGGGACAUUUGGGGAAUAUGUAAUAUGCCUGAUAAAUAAACCGGGGGAGUUCCCCAUCUUCCUAAGGGCCUUUUACAUAUUUACCAUUAUAACGGUUGUCUCUCACCCGAUUAUCACUCUUAUAAUGUGUCAUACAUAUUUACCAUCUUUAAGCGAUAACUCUUACAUUUAGACCACAUUUGCACAUGUGGCAACCCAGACCCACUGACAUGGUGGUGCUGACUCAGCAUGGGCAGACGAAAUGACGAUGCUGCCCCUGGCCUCAUUUUCUUCUAAACACAGCAGCAUAAAAACCCCUCUAUUGAUAAAAAAAACACAGCAACAUAUUUUAUUUGCACACAGACAGCAACAUAAUACAAGGAUUUGCUGUGUUUUUUUUAUGUUGCUGUGUUUUUUUUUAUCAAUAGAGGGGUUUUUAUGCUGCUGUGUUUAGAAAAAAAAUGAGGCCAGGGGCAGCAUCGUCAUUUUGCCUACCCAUGCUGAGUCAGCACCACCAUAUCAGUCGGUCUGGACUGCCACAUGUGCAAAUGUGGUCUAAAUGUAAGAGUUAUCGCUUAAAGAUGGUAAAUAUGUAUGGCACAUUAUAAGAGUGAUAAUCGGGUGAGAGGCAACCGUUAUGAUGGUAAAUAUGUAAAAGGCCCUCUUCCUAACCCUCUCUCCACCUCUCUCUCGGUACUCACUCCCUCUUUCUGAAGUUUCAGUUUUGCUCUCUCGUAGCUCUCUCUCUCUAGGGUUAGGUUUUCUGAUUUCUAAAGAUUUGAUGAACUGAAAAAUUGGUGAUUGUACUUGUGUUUUUGACAUGGGAAUGGAGGCCCGAAUCCUCCUCGUGCCCUCUGGGAUUCGUCACGUUUAGUUGUGAUUUUUGGUUGUCCCAAAAUGUGCUUGUGCUAAUGUUUUUCGCGAGUUACUGUUCAUCAUUUUCUCCCGUUGUUGAUUUGUGCUUGUCUUGAGUUUUCUGUGGAAUUUGUUUGGCUGUGAUGACGCUCCAUCGAGUGAUGUACCUGCUCACCAAGUGAUAUGAUUCAAUUCCACUCGUGCAUCAAGAUUCAAACAAUUUUUGAUUUUGGGGAAUUUUUCGAGUUCUUACUCGUGAUCUGAAUUUCCCGGAGGGAGAACUCGUCUUGGGCCAUGAUUUCUUGGAAAUAGCUUUUCUUCUAUGCUGUGAUUACCUAUGCAAAUUUUGGGAACAAAUCAUGAAGCUUUGGUCAAGAUUUCUUUGAUUUUUGGCUCACUGUUCUUCCUGUUCGCAGCGCUCUGUGUCUUUUGGUUGUGUCCUGCGGAGAGCAGACCCUCCGACGGGCUCCUUGUUCAUUGUGAAGGUCGAGCAGCAGGAGCUGCGCUCGUGCUCUCAGGCACCGAGCUAGUGCUCGUCCAUGUGCACAGGCACCCGCCUGUUCUUGCUGUGAGGUAGAGCACUCAAGCACAAGCAGCAGCUGCUCACCCGUGGAUUCCAGUAAUCAGCCUCGAGUUUGUCUGCUUGCUUUCGAUGUUUGUUUUGUAUUCGUUCUCGGUCCCAGAAUCUGUGUUCACAUCCAGCAGGCAGCAGUGCCCAUCGUGAGCCAACAGCCAAGGUGAAUCAGUGUUUGAUUGUGAUUGGUCAGAAGCUAACUUGUUUCAUCCGUGAUUCACUAAUUGUUUAAAGCUUUGAACAUUAAAUUACUUUUGGAUUCUCACGGUUGUGAAUUUAUUUAGUUCUUGUUGCGAGUGGAUUGAGCAGAGGAGAGAGUCACAUACCACAAGCAUCUAGCUCUGCAGAUGAAAUUUUCAAGGGAUUUUCUGUCCAAUUUUUUUGCAGCCAUGAUUUCCUGUUUCGCUCGUAAUUUAGUCGUUUGAGUUCCAAAUCGUGUUCUGUCUGUUGCGUUGGUUUUCUACCGCUGUGAGUAAUCAAUCUAGAUACUCUCGUCACCUGUUGGCUUGAGUAUUUUAGGUUUGACAAUUUGCUCUUGGGACAGAGGCCAAAUAUAUAUUUCCAGAGAAAAUUUAAGGCUCCCAUUCACCCCCCUCUGGUCGCCGUUUUCGAUCCUUCACAUAGCGAGCUAUUGGAUGGGCCGGGCCACUCCUAUUGAUUUUUCAUCCAUUCACCUCCUCGGUCGCCUCACCUCUAAAUACUAUAUUAUCUCUAACUACGUCUAAUGAGCCUAGCUCUCAAGACAUAAGAGAGAGAGGACGAAUGUGAUGAAAGAGAGAAGAAAGAUUAUGGCCGCAACUAGCUCGAAUGAAUAUUGGUGAUCUCGAUUUGCAAGAAAAUUAGCUUGAUUUGGGUUCAAUUUAACAUUAUGCCUUCGAACCGAUUUAUCCAAAACUGAUUUUUGGUUAACGCUUCUCUAAAACCAAAAUUGUUUAUAACCGAUUAAAUCGAACCGAUUUGACCAAAUUAACCAAAUGUUCAGGCCUAACUAAGGAGGACUUCCAUGGACAUAGUGGCUCUGGAUGCAAUGAAUUAAGGUUCUAUUUGGCAAUUACGGAGGAAAGGAGCAAAGUUGAAGAGGCUUUAUGAGAGGAAGGCAGCCAUGGCCCAUGGAGAUUGUGCCUAAUGUGGAGCUAUCAAGGUGGUGGAUUUUACCCUUACAACAUGACUAAGGAGGCAUGCACCAUAAUGCAAGCAACUAAAUACAACACUAUCAAAUGUAACUUAUAUGAGUCUAGCCCAACCAAACACCAACACAUUGCAUAUAUCUAUGUUAAGCUGGACUAUAGUGCAUAAGGGCCAAUACAUGUCAUGUCUAGUGCAGGAAACUAAAAGUUUUCAUGUCUGCAAAAGCUUUUUCUCAUUUUUCCAUUGGUCAGCUGGAUUUCCUCAUACCGAGGAGGCUACAUCCAAUGAGGGUGUUGUUGCUGUCGACGAGGGAUGUUUUCAGCCACUUACAAAAACUUCGAUAUUACUUUGGGGUAAUAAAUUAUUUAUUAUCUUUCUAAAAAGCCUAUGCAAAUCUUUUGUGUGGAAAGUUUUGGGAAAUAAGUUUAUUUAAUUAAAAAGAAUUCAUUUUCAAUGUUUUUACAAAAAUCAUUUUGAAAAGUUUUUUCACAAUUCAUUAUAUAUUUUAUGGAAAUAUUCAUAAAAUAUUAUAGAAAAUAUUGCUUUUGAAUAUGACAUGAAAAGUUUAAAAUGAAAAUAUAUAAAUAUGCAUUGGAGAACAGUUUUUAGAAAAAGAAAGACCGGAAGAGGAAAAACAUAUAUAUAUUAGAAAAGACUGUUAUGUGCUGAAUUUGACGGCUGGCAAUUAGUGCUGAAAAAAUAUAGGACGUGCUCCUCUGGAAAGUGAGGCCCAUGAGGCGUAUCGAUCAAGCACCGUCCACUCUCACAUCAAAGGCCGAGGUGGCCUCGCCUCCUUCGACUAAACGCCUUGCGGAUAACGGGAGGGCGAGCGAGCGACGGGACGGCACCAAUGGCGAUGCGAGCAGCUCCGGCGGCGGCGACAGGCUUCUUCUCUCCAUCCUCCGUCUCUCCGAGGCGCUUCUCGUCCGCCACACCGCCGGCGUCACUCUCCACCGGGCGCUGCAUCCAGCGCCAUCGUCUCCGCGCCUUCCCAAGUACAGUGUUGCUAUCCCUCCGUUCCUUCCUUUUGGUGUUCCCAUUUCUCAAUGAACAAAUACCAUCCUCUCGCUCCAUUCCCUUUGCAGGUUCGGAAAUACCUCUAGAGGAACUCAACCCAUCCGUCGAUCUACUUGUAGGCUCCAUCCCUCUGCCUCACCGCUGUUUCUGUCAAUCUGUCAUCAAUUUAUCGCCCUGUUAUUUCUUGAAAUAAUCGUUAUCCUGCUUAUGGACGGACUUUGCAUGGUUUUCUUGGUUGCAAUCCCAAUGCAGAGGAAAACUGCGGAGGCCGUCGGCGAUUUCAGGAAAACGCCCAUCUAUAUUGUCGGUAUGCUUCUCAGCUUCGUUUGGAUUUUUUUUUUUGGAUCAAGUGUUAGCCACCACAAUCAAAUUUAGAUACAGUUUAAAUUUGGUAACACAACAAACUAACAUUACACUUAGCAACCCAAAGGUGUCUCCGAUGUGAUCUGCCUUGUCAUUAUAAUUUAUAAACAUUAUAAUGGGCAAGGUGCCUAAGUCCAAAUGUCAGGUCAUUAUGCAUCUAAACAGCACAAGAGAAAACAACUGUCAUUGGUGUGAGGACAUUGUUGAAUUCUAAGUCUCAGCAGUUUCUUCGACUACCACAAUUUACAGCAAAUGAAUAUCUUCACUGGACGAGACAGAAGACAAGUUGCCAAACUUUUUUCUAGUUGAGUGUCCAAUUCCUUCUGCUGUCAUGGUGUUCCCACAGUUCACGUUGAUCACCACUAGAACAGGGGUCUGUUGUUCUCUAGCUAAGUAAUUGCAGUCCCAGACUCAUCCUACAAUUUUCUGCCAAGUUAUUUGAGAUAAAUAUAGAUUACUGUGAGGGGAAGGGUCGUUUCUUCGUGGUUCCUACAGAGCUUGUAAAUUUGAUUAACAUUACAAUCCUUGACAGUAGCUUGUCCAUUGUGACCAUUUUGUUCUGCAGUAGGAGCCACAGUUGUUUUCGAACUUGCAUUUGUUUCAACCUAUGACAUCCAAAUCAGCAUCCAACCUUUUUUUGUUAGCCAACCAAACAAUUUUGCCUCAUAAGCUGAUUUCUGAUUAGUCCACGAGCAGAUGAGCUCCAGGAUGUCUUCUCCUCUUCAUGUGUUAAAUCUGUGCCUUGAAUAGGGGACAAAGGUUUAGCAAAAUGCUACAAUUGUUGACGGGAUGGCCCUUUUCAUCCAGGUCCUGUUCUGAAGAGCUCUGCUGCAAGCCUGCAACCUUCCAAGUUUUCCUCUAGGCCAAGGUGUACACUGCCUGUGCAAUUUCUUUCAAAGUAGCAUGUCCAGCCUGCUGUUCUAAAUCUGCUGCAAUCUUCAUGCUCAUGCAAGAAUUUAACCUGGGUGCCGUUAACUAGCAUGACAGCAGUACAAUUCCUUGUCCAUCAGUCUGCCUCGUCACGGAGUGUGUUCAUUCCGAUCCAUGCUAUUUUGUCCCUUCUGAGUUUACUAGAACCAUGACAUCUCACGCUAAUACUCUAAUGUUACUUGAUGAAAAAAAUAGGCCUGGUCCUGGCCAGCAAGAUGCAACUGACUGGAUUGUUCCUUCAUGCAUAGGCACGGAUUGCACAGCCAAGCGCAACAUCGCCAAGCUGCUUGCGAAUUCCAUAAUAUACCGCUACCUCUGCAGUGAGGAACUGCUUGAGGAUGUUCUUGGUGGGAAGGACGCCCUCAGAGCCUUCAAAGAAUCUGAUGAGAAGGGCUAUCUUGAAGUCGAGGUUCUUUCCUUCUUUCUCCUUUCCUCCCUCUAUUUUUUUUUACUAGUUUUCUUGCUCAAAAUGUUACUGCCCCUACAUUACCUUGCACUAAUUUUCCAUUCUUCUGUCUCACUGCUAGACCGAAGGGUUAAAGCAGCUCACGUCCAUGGGUAGCCUUGUGUUGUGCUGUGGUGAUGGCGCUGUCAUGAACUCAACCAAUCUGUAUGUAUGGAUGCAUCUCCAUUGUCUAUUGUUUUUGUCACACAUGUAAAGUUAUUAAUUAUAAGCAUACAUAUGCUGGUGUUUAUGAACCUCCAGGGGGCUACUGAGGCAUGGUGUCUCCAUUUGGAUUGAUGUUCCUCUUGAAAUGGCAGCAAAUGAUAUGCUGAAGAGUACGGGAACACAAGCUACUACGGAUCCAGACUCUUUUUCUCAGGUUAGCCUAAAUUUUGUUUGAUGCUCUCUAUGGAUGUGAUGACUGACUGAAAUUCAAGUGUUAUUUGUGAAACAUGGUGCCACAUCGUCUGGAUAGUUAUUAGCAUGUUUAUCUUUUAACUUGACCUUACUAUCUAUCUACAUGUGUAGGCGAUGAGCAAGCUCCGUCAGCGGUACGAUGAACUGAAAGAGCGCUAUGGAGUUUCUGAUAUUACUGUUUCAGUACAAAGUAAAGAUAGAUCCUCAAACCGCCUUUCAUUCCCUUUGAGUUACAGUUAGUAAAUGGUAAAUAUUUAGAAUCGGGUGAACUUUUUUUUCUGAGAUGCCUCAACACCUUUCAGGUGUCGCUUCUCAGCGUGGGUACAGCAGCGUUGACUCGGUGACACUUGAGGACAUGGUCCUUGAAGUAAGUCAGCAACAUUUUAUUUAUUUCCAGACCACAUAUGUCUUCAUUUUGGACAAUUAGGCACAGCACUUGUAACUGCUGAAUACAACUGAUUCUAACAUCGAGAAGCUGAUCGUGAAUUUGAUUUCCCAGAUCGUGAGGCAAAUCGAGAAGCUGAUCCGAGCAAAGGAGAUGAUGGAAGCUGCAGGGAGGCCCUUCUAAACUAGAUAGUAGAUACCAUGCUGCAUACACAAUAUUUAUGCUCCGGCAUACCAAUUGCCUGAACUCCAACGCUUCGCUGCUCAAGAAACUGAUUGCAAGCGUGUGAAGUCCAAGGAGCUGAAGGUCGUUGUUCCACUCGAACAUGCUUAUAUUGUAAUUGCAAGAUCAUUUGCCAUUUGAUAGUGCAAAUGCAUUACGUGUUCAUCUGCCAUGGCUGAAUUUACUGUCUAUUGGAAAUGGCAGUUUUGCCUGUAUACAUGGGCCCAGCAGCCAAAAUUUGGGAAUUUUGGUGAAAGGAAAAUUUCAGAAUGCAUUUAUAGUGACUAUGUUACAAUGCUAAGGUUUUCUACCUAAAAAUUUUUCAUCCAUCCCGUCGAGUCUUUGGACACAUGCAUGGAAUAUUAAAUGUAGACAGAAAAAAAACUAAUUGCACAGUUUGGUUGUAAAUCGUGAGACAAAUCUUUUAAACCUAAUUAGUCCAUGAUUAGCCAUAAAUGCUACAGUAAUCGACAUGUACUAAUGACAGAUUAAUUAGGUUUAAUAGAUUUAUCUUGUAAUUUCUAAACGAGCUAUGUAAUUUGUUUUUUUAUUGGUUUUCAAAAACUCCUCCGAUAUUCUUCUGACACAUUCGAUAUGACACCUAAAAUUUUCUUUUCGUGAACUAAACAGGACCUAAACGAACAGGAUGUGAGGUUUGAUCAAUUUUACAUCAGGGAUUUUAUGUGAUUUCGUCUUUUCAUGAGAGUCAGAGAUAACGAUGGACAAAACAAGGAAAAUGGUGGCUGAAACUGAAAGCCAAAGCAGCCUCUCCACGCAUUCACACGCGCGCUGACGAGGCGAGGCGGCUACAUGGUGGGACCCACGUGCAGCCUCACGAGCCGCGUCAAGCCCCCGGACCGGAUGUGCCUUUCGGCUCUAUUACCGGAGCGGAGAGCGAGGGAGCGAGACGAGAUCCAUUCGCAACUGCUGCUGCUGCGCCUCGACUCGUAGCCCGGAGAGGAACCCUAGCUAGCAAAGCCGGAGGCGGCAAGAGAGAGCAGCCAUGGCGCGGUGCCUCGCGCUCGUCGCCCUCCUCGUCCUCGGCCUCGCCGCCGCCCCCGCCGCCGCCGCCGCGGCCGACGCGCCCUUCGUCGUCGCGCACAAGAAGGUUUCGCUCUCCCGCCCCAAGCCGGGCGUCGAGCGCGUCGCCGUCUCCCUCGACCUCUACAACCAGGGAUCCGCGUGAGUACCGCUCACACCCCACCGCCGAUCCGGUUUGUUGCUUGUAGUAGUUUCGCUUACUCCUGGGAUCUGAUCUGACUCGGCAUGCCUUCCUUUCCUGGGAGAUUUGAACGCGCCUCCACUUGCUUGGAUCUGCAUCGUGCGGUGAGCGAGUGAUGCGAGGUUUACUUCUUAAACCUUAGCCGGGGAUUUAGUUGUCCAAUUUUUUCUAAUCGUAGGUCCGCUAAAUCUGAAUGAUAGAUUUGCUUAAUUGUGUAUAAGAAGUGAAGAAUUCAUAAUUUUCAACCUUCGCUUGCUCUUCUGCUUUUAUAGAUCCCCAAUUCUCCCUAUCCCUUGCUGGAAACGGGAGCAGAUCAUUAUUCCUGUGUGCUGCCCUCGCUCAUAAUUGACUGCGAGAUCAAGAGUGCUGGCCUUGCUCUUAAUUGACUGUUGUUAGAUCAAGAGUGCUGCACUUGUUUUUAAUUUACUGCUAGAUCAAGAUUUUUGUAUCCUCAAUUGCGAACUAAUCAAUGAUUCUCGUGCAUAUUGGGCCCAUGCUGAUGGUUAUCUAGCUAAACAACCAGUAAGGUCAACUUUUCAAUCACUCCAUCCAAAGUGCUAGUGCUAACUUGCGUGUAUGUAGUUUUGUCACAAAGAAAAUAUUCAUAGGGACCAGGACCACGUGGAAGAUUGCAUGGGCUAUUUUGUCUGCUACAUCUUACUCGAAUUUUUGUUUUGUCAUCAUGCAGAUGGUUAAUGAUAUCUUUAUUUGUAAUGUGUUUUUGCAUAAAAAAAGAGCUUUGCAAUUUAUUUCAUGCAGAAAUUGAUGCAUUGUCGGUUUCCCAAGGAGUUCACUCUUUGGUCUGCACUUGCAAAAGGAAAUGCACUUUCUAUUUAUUCGCAGAACUGUGUGUCAAGUUUGCUUUGGGUUUAAGGCAAUUGGUACUGUUGCAGUUGCAUGCAUUCUAUUUUUACAAGUCAUUUGUAUGGGACAACACAAUUUGUGUUGCUUUGCUUACCCUAAGAUAUCUUGCUUGUUCAGAUAUAUAUGCUGUAGUGUCACAUUCUUAUAGUAUAUUUCUGGCUAGAUCUGGAAGCCAAACAACAUUAAGUCGCCUAAUAAAGUGACCUGGAAUUUUUACUAUAUGUCUAUGCACAGUGGAUUUACUCCCUUUGUGCUACAACAAUUGUUGGUAUCACCAUGUGCUACUGCUUUCUCUUGUAUCACACUUCCAGUAAUACUUGAUGUGCUCGAAUUUGGUAUUUUUCUUGAUUUUGAGUCAUUGCAUGAUGUAUAUGUGUUCCUUUCUGUUUCAUAUGAUGGCAAAUCAAUCACAUAUGUUCUUAUACCAUCUGCAUGGACUUAUUGUAAAAUCUAUUGCAGGACUGCCUAUGACGUCUCCAUUAAUGAUGACUCUUGGCCAACAGAAGCGUUUGAGCUUGUCACUGGAGAGAAAUCGAAGACAUUAGAAAGGCUUGACCCGUGAGUACAUUUUGUAAUGCAUAUCUCUGCUUUACGUGUUCAUGUACAUCACUACAGAAAAUGAUUUCAUUACUUUGACUCUUUCAGUGGUGCCACUGCUUCACACACAUUUGUCCUCGAGACCAAGACACAGGGCAGGUUCCAGGGUUCACCAGCUAUUAUUACAUACCGUGUUCCCACAAAGACAGCUCUUCAGGUUUUCCCCCCUUUUGCCUCUACUGUAUAUAAUUCAGUAGUGUUUCUUAUGUUAUGCAUCUUGUAUUGUCUUCUUAUUUUCUACAUCGCUAUUGCUUGACCCGCGGUAUUUAGCUAAAUCAAUGUUUUGUAUAUGUUGAAGGAGGCCUACUCAACUCCCAUCUUCCCACUGGAUAUUCUUGCUGAGAGACCUCCAGAGAAGAAGUUUGAAUGGGUAAGUAAACAUGCCAUUGCAUGCACAUCCUAGUUCAUGUUUCUUUCUGAUACUGAUGUUUGGGUGCUAUUUCUGGUGCUUCCUCUGCAUGGAAAUCCGAAUAUGCGCUCAUACUAUGUUCAGGCUAAGGUAUUUCUUUCUUUCCUUCUACUUUUGUCAAUUUUCCUAGUUCAUCUAAACAUGCUGCUCUGGUAGAUUUUAUCAUUCAUUUGACUAUUUGAGUUGCACGCUAACAAAAAAAAUGUUAUCCACGUGCAGAGGCUUGUGGCGAAAUACGGGUCACUUGUGUCUGUUGUCUCGUUUGUUGGACUGUUUAUCUACCUCGUCGCGAGCCCAUCAAAGAGCGGCUCAAAAGCAAGCAAGAAGAGACGCUGAUCUACUUAUAGGUUGCAGUUGACGGUGUAGCUGGUGGUUUUGCCUGGAGGAACUCUUGGUAGUUUGAGCUGAGCGAAAGCUUUUCAAGUUUACAUUUACUCACCACACCAUGAAUUGCAACGAAGUGAGCAUCAAUUAGAAAACAGGACCUGUAAUUUUGGUUGGUUAUUUUCUGUUUCUGUCAGAGACCUAACUCGGAGGACCUGUAACUAGGAAAGUUGCUUUUGCUUGAAAGAACAUUUGAUAUAUGAUUGUUGUUUCUGGCCUUGUUUAGUUCACCCUAAAAUCCAAAAAGUUUUUAAGAUUCUCUGUCACAUCGAAGCUUGCGGUACAUGCAUGAAGCAUUAAAUAUAGACGAAAACAAAAAUUAAUCACACAGUUUGACUGUAAAUCACGAGAUGAAUUUUUUGAGCCUAGUUAUUCUAUGAUUGGAUAAUAUUUAUCAAAUAAAAACAAAAAUGCUACAUAUUUCGGAACUAAACAAGGCCUCUGUGCUUCGUGCUUGGGUGUGUGAAUUUGAGAGCAACCGUUUGGUAGGACGUUUUCAGCUGACAAUGGUCAUGACUCAUGACAUAGCAACUUCUGGUGAUCUGAACCUUGCAUGUUGAAGAUCACAUCGAACUGCUUGUCUCUUUCGGCUUCAUGGUGAGUUUGUUCAUUUGUCUAAAAAGUUAUGGUUGAAAGUAUUGUUUGUUGAUUUGUUGUGAGAGAAAAACGCUGCUGAAUGACUGGUAGAUUCGUUAGAUAAGUUCCAACGAAUAGGGCCGGUGUGGUGUAGAAUGAGGUUCAGGGCAGGGCACCGGAGUUUCUAAUGAAUCAUUAGUCAAGAAGCUCCUCCUAUCUCAUGGCUGUCAUUUCGACAUCUAGAAUUCUACAUUUUUACAUCACCUAUUCAAAGCAUCGUCUCUGUCAAAUCUGCCGCGCACUGAUAAAUUUCAUUCCCUGCGAAGAUUAAUCAAGAUUCAAGAGGAAAAGAAAUAUGUUCUGAAAUAUCUGGUGUUUUAUUGUUUCAGAGAAAAAUAAUUGAUGUUUUUAACUUUUAUCAUUGAUACUUUGACAAAAUUUGUUUCAAUAUUUAGUUAAGUAAAUAAAGUGAGAAAUGCAUCGUUGGAUUCUCAUUAUCAAAAUUACUUUAAAUGUGUCAUAUAUUGUUGGUUAUUUGUACAAAUAUUCACAUAGAGUGGUCAAACAUUAGACACUAAUGUCAAAAUUGCCAUGAAAGGAGUUUGGUAGUUAAGAGUAGAAAGCUUAGAAAACAAUACCUAAUAAAAAUGCUUGGAUGAGUAAACCUAGCCCAAAUUUGCACAAAAGCUUUAGGAAUGCUCAUCCGUAUUGUUGACUCCACUAAUCAGCGAGCAUCUUAGGAUUAGAAUCAACAAACAAUGACACAUCAUCCAUGACUUUCCUUUUUUAGGGUUUUUUUGGCAAUAACAUUUUUUUGGAAAUUUUGUUUAGAUAACUUCUCUCUUUUUUGAAAAAAUAUAUAACUUUUCUAUAAGACUUUUGUGCAUGACGUUUGUGGCGUAAGCUUAUGCUUAUAUUUACCAUGAUAUCUUCCGAAGAAUGUAAGAUAUUAUGUUAUGCACACAUGUUUAUGCAUAAUAAGAUUUGUGGAUAAAACAAUGAUUACAUAUACAUUAGCAUGCAAUGAAACAUCUUUAAAACAAAAUUAUGCACACAAUAUUUGUGAAAUAAAAACAUAAUAUUUAUGAAUAAAAUUAUGCACAAGAUGGUGAAACAAAUACAAGGUUCAUAAACAAAAUUAUGCACAAGACUCGUGAAACAAAAUUGUGCCACAAGAUUUGUGAGUAAAAACUACACAUAAAAACAGGAAAAAUAUAUGCACAUGAGAUUUUUUAACAUAAUAAGAUUCAAUUCAGCUAGAUCGGAAGAGGAUAUAAAAUUUAAAAUAACAAAAAAAAGUAGAAAAAAAGAGAAGGAAAAAAAAAAGAGCAAGCACGGCAAUUUGAAUGUGAUGAAAGGAGAACGGGAUGUCAGCCGUGCUGAGAUGGGCCGGGCGUUCGGGGGCGAAUGGUCGCCGAACUGAAUUCGGGCUGUUUUGCUCACUUCCAGAGCCCAAUUUCACUCAGAUGGCCCAUCAGAACCAGCCCACUCCUCCUCCCGCAACAUCUCUCACACUGACACGUCGGUCCCACCACUAAUCGGACGGUCCAAACCAGCCGUGAACCCCAUCUCCACCGUCCGCCCUAGGGUAACCCUCCCAGUUUCCCGACCGCGCACUAUAUAAACCUCUCUCUUCUCCCUCGUCCAACCCUAGCCGCAGCGCGCUCAUUUCCGCGUUCCCCCUCCCGCCUCGCCGCGCCGCCGCCGCCACCGCCGGAGAAGAUGGGUCGCGUGAUCCGCGCGCAGCGUAAGGGUGCGGGGUCCGUCUUCAAGUCCCACACCCACCACCGCAAGGGCCCCGCCCGGUUCCGCUCCCUCGACUUCGGCGAGCGCAACGGGUACCUCAAGGGCGUCGUCACCGACGUCAUCCACGACCCGGGCCGCGGCGCGCCGCUCGCCAAGGUCACCUUCCGCCACCCCUUCAGGUACAAGCACCAGAAGGAGCUCUUCGUCGCCGCCGAGGGCAUGUACACGGGCCAGUUCGUCUACUGCGGCCGCCGCGCCACGCUCUCCAUCGGCAACGUCCUGCCGCUCCGCGGGAUCCCCGAGGGUGCCGUCGUCUGCAACGUCGAGCACCACGUCGGUGACCGUGGUGUCUUCGCCAGGGCCUCUGGGGACUACGCCAUCGUGAUCAGCCACAACCCUGACAACGGCACCUCGAGGUCUGAAUACGAUCACCGCCCCCUCCUUUCUCUGUUUCAUUCAUUUGUAUGAUUAGAUUUUCAUUUAUUCGUAUGAUGAGAUCUGAUGUAGUCGUGCGAGUAAUUGCAUCACUGAAUCUGAUAUGUUAUGGAUCCUUUGUAGCAUUAUUCAAAAAUGAUUUGGCUCUAUUUUUGUGGUUUGCUUAUGCGCACAAGAUUUAGUUUUCUAUAAUAAUAAAAUGGUCCGAUUUAUGGAUUAUUAUGGUACAUAUCAUCUGCCUGUUGUUAUUUUUGUUGUAACGUGAUUCAGUUUUACUUUGUAAAAGGUCUAGUUGACUUAUGGCCUUGUAUUGAGGUAGAUUUUAGUUUGACUGUAGCCAUUUGUAGCUGAUUGGUUCUUUGAUUGCAAUGUGCUGCAGAUAAUCAAAUAAACACCUUAGGUUGGUAGGUUCUGCAAUGGCUACAUUGUAUAUUUUGUGAUUAUAAUUGUUCUACUUUACGCAUCUCCAAUACAUAUGCUGAUGACAUUGUAAGCUGUUUCGCAUCUUGUUAUGUCAGCCUUAAAAUUAUAUUUUACUGCUGAAGAUAAUUUCAGUUGCAGUGUUUUUACCCUGUAGAUAUCCUAAUCUGGCCUGCCUACUCUAAUGUCUUGUUGAUGUCCUAAUCUAGUUGCCUACUAGAAUGUCUUUUGCUUUGUCAGUGUAGUCAAGUGAUUUUCUGAUAUUUGUCUGCAUACUUAAUUACACAGCAAGAUAGGCUAAUUCUGCUCUUUUCUUACAGGAUUAAGCUACCCUCUGGUGCCAAGAAGAUUGUCCCCAGCAGCUGCCGUGCCAUGAUUGGGCAGGUCGCUGGUGGAGGCAGGACUGAGAAGCCGAUGCUGAAGGCUGGUAACGCGUACCACAAGUACCGUGUGAAGAGGAACUGCUGGCCUAAGGUGCGUGGUGUGGCCAUGAACCCUGUGGAGCAUCCCCACGGAGGAGGUAACCACCAGCACAUUGGUCACGCCUCCACCGUCCGCCGUGACGCUCCCCCUGGCCAGAAGGUCGGUCUCAUUGCUGCCAGGAGGACUGGAAGGCUCAGGGGACAGGCUGCUGCCACUGCCGCCAAGGCUGACAAGGCCACCUAGAGUUGUUAUCGUCGUUCUUGUUUAUCUAUCUCUCUGC
This 51331-nucleotide long non-coding RNA is filed under the name Sorghum bicolor (sorghum). RNAcentral describes it as "long non-coding RNA (SBIC_LNC015054)". Lineage: Eukaryota; Viridiplantae; Streptophyta; Magnoliopsida; Poales; Poaceae. The record is from RNAcentral.